This 59750-nucleotide long non-coding RNA is filed under the name Coffea arabica (coffee). Its description in RNAcentral is "long non-coding RNA (CARA_LNC003188)". The record is from RNAcentral. Lineage: Eukaryota; Viridiplantae; Streptophyta; Magnoliopsida; Gentianales; Rubiaceae.
CCAAGGUUCGCCGUCGCGGAUCUCGGUCGCGUCGCGGUCUCGGUUGUUCCACAUCCGUCGCGGCAUAUCGGAUGAAUAUCGGGUGAUACAUACAUUAUAGUAUAUAAAAAUUUUCAAAAAAUCUGAAAAAAUUACUAAAAAUAGAAAAUAUCAUAAAAAGCACAAUUAUCAACUUAAAUUUACUAAAUACCUACAUUAUCAUAUAUAGUUACUAAUUAUUAAAUAAAAUAAUGCUGUCAUUACCAUAAGGGCCUAUAGCAUUAGCAAUAAAAAAUUUGCAUUAUUUAGAUAAUAAUAAAAAAUUUUAUUAUCUAAAUAUAUUAAAUUUUUUCUAAUCAAGUUUAAUUAUGCAAGGUAAUUUGCAUUAUUUCGAUAAUAAUAAUUUUUUUAUUAUCUAAAUAUAUUGAAUUUUUUCUAAUCAAGUUUAAUUAUGCAAGGUAAUAUGCAUUAUUUAGAUAAGAAUAAAAUUAUUUUUUUAUUAUCUAAAUAUAUUACAUUUUUUCUAAUCAAGUUUAAUUAUGCAAGGUAAUUUGCAUUAUUUCGAUAAUAAUAAAAUUUUUUUAUUAUCUAAAUAUAUUAAAUUUUUUCUAAUCAAGUUUAAUUAUGCAAGGUAAUUUAUACUUUGACAAUUUGCCCAAUUCAAUUUUUUGUUUAACUAACUGCAACAAACUCUUUUUUUUUUUUUUUACUUUUUCUAAUUAAUUUACCUAAAAUCAUUUUAACCAACAUAAUUGAGAUACAUGAAAAUAAAUAAAUUACAUUUAUGAUCAUUAAAAUGUAUCCAAAUAAUCACUACAUAUUUUCUAACUAAAAUUUAGAUAAGAGACUACUAAUACAAAUUAAUCAUAUACUUAAUAAUAUGUAAAAAGUGUCAAAAUGCAUUACUUAAAUUUACAAAUAUCUAAAUAUCAUGUCUGAAUGCUAAGUUAAAAAAAUUAAAAUUGAUAAGUUAUUUUGAAAAAAGAUACGGACCUUUUGACUGAUGCUUGGAUUUAAGAUUAGGAACCUAAUCUCUUAAUUACUUGGGCCAAAGCUGGACUUUACAUGCUUCUAAUUUUCCUUCAAUUUUUUUCCCUAUGGCUGGGUUCGGUACAAAAGCCCAUCUUCUGUUUAGUGCAGCCGCAAGUCCUUCAGUUUGUUUAGUGCACUUGCGGAUUCUUCCCUUCGGUUUGUUUAGUGCAGCCGCAAGUCACUGGAUUCUUCCCUUCAAUUUUAGCCAUUUCUUCCUUUGACUCUUCCCUUCAUUUUUUUUCCCAAUUUCCGUUGAUCAGUUUUUUCACCUCCUUCACGGCCAGAUAAGGUGGAAAUUGAAGAGCCGGCCGUCACCUUUACUCUUUCUUUUGCUUUCCCUUUCCCGCUAUUGUUGUCUUCCUCCAACAGCCUGCCGUCACCUCUGUUUUGAGCCGCAGCCGGACGAUGAAAAAAUUGCAGAACCGAUCGGCUUGUUUCUCCAGCCGGCCGUCACCUUUAUUCUGGAGUGAACCUCAAAAACUAGUGAUGGAUUGCAGAAAUUGCAGAACGAUGAAGAAAUUGCAGAAAUUGCAGAACGAUGAAGAAAUUGCAGAAAUUGCAGAACGAUGAAGAAAUUGCAGAAAUUGCAGAACGAUGAAGAAAUUGCAGAAAUUGCUGGUAUGCUUCUCUUUAUCCCCACUUUUUCCUUGUCUUUGUGGCUGCAAAAUGAAACAAUAAAGCAUGGGAAAAGACUGUAACAACCGUGUGGACCACCCCUUGUAAUUGUAGUUUUGUUUGAUUUUGUAAAAGGCUCUGCAACAGCCGUAGCUAACUGUGGUACGAUGCCUUAUGUGUUCUUUCGGUGUCGGUUCCUUUUUUGUUUGGUUUUGGCUUCCCAGUUGGUGUGUAAAUUUGUUAGCCGGUACAUAUCCGAGUUGAAUCCGAAAAUUUGGCUGUUAUCUUGCUACACGGUGCUAAUUCGGACGAUAUCGGCUGAUUCGGAGCGAUUCAAAUCGGAUAUGGUGUAAUCGGCGUUUCGGGUAUCGGUAUCGGAACGCCAGGUGCCGUUCCGGUUAUGACUCGGCCGAGUCGUCUCGGACUCGGCCGAGUUGGCGAACCCUGUUCCUUACUUGCCCGAAGCUCUCCUCCAGUUUUUUCUUUUUCCAGAUUUUUCUCCCAAUCCCUCCGCAGUCUUUCUCUCUUUUUCUCUCCCCGGACUCUCUCUUCCUCCUCCUUUCUUUCUUUUCUCCUUUCCUUUUUUCCUCCUCCUCCCUUGCUUGCUCUCUCGUAACGGUCUCCCGGUUUCUCUUUUUCCUUUUUCCUCUCUUGCCCGAAACUCCUUUCCUUGUUUUUUCCUUUUUCCCUCCAGAUCCUUUUCCCCUCAAGCUCCCUCUCACUUUUCUUUCUUGUUUCCAGAUUUUUCCUCCAACCCCCACAUGUCCUUGCCACCUAGCCCCUAAAUGUUGUGGUGUACAAAAAGCCAAAAUCACAUGGCUCAUUUGCAUUCGACUUAACUAUCUUGCAUGCAUUCCACCUUUUUUUUUUAUUUUUCAAGGUAAAAAAUUUAGGGUAAACAAAAUAUUAAAUUCCUAUUUGAGAUUGCCUUGCCAAUUUUCAUUUAUUUUGAAGAAAUUAAAUUUGAAAAGAUUAAAAAUAAAUUUUGUGAGACUUUUCUUUUCCGGAAAUUUAAUGCAAAAAAUGUUUGUUUUGUUGAUUAUUUUUAAAAUAAGAUGAACCUUAUUCAAAAAUAGCUAACUAUCAUUUUACGAAUUUGGUUAAAUAAAAAUAAAAAUAAAAAAUAAGAAUAAAAUUAAAUUAAAAUUAAAUUAAACAAAAUUGAAAUUUUGGUGUCUACACCGAGCAAAACGAUCAGAAAUUGUAUUAGCUAGCUUUUCUAUAGCUAACUCAAAGUGAUUGGCGGAUUUUUGUAUGGCUAGCUCCUAAGACGGUCUAGAAUCAUUAGUUAAUGUUUCACUCUCUAAUUCCCAAGGUAAAGAUACAUUAGCUAACCUUUCUAUUGUCAAUUCCCAAGAUGGCUUAGGUUCAUAUUGGACAAUUUCGGGUUGGUAAUCAUAAGAACAUGAAGAGUCACUAUAUGCAUGUUGAUUAUGCCAAUCAUAAGUAUAAGAAUUACUCCAAUUAGGUUCCUUUUGAUCAAAAUAAGGAUUGUAAUGCUCCAAUUCAUCACAAUAACGUUGAUUUUGUACUUGCCAACAUAUAUAAGUAGCAUGAUCACCUCCACAUAAGUCACAAAUCUCAUGAUAAAAAUUAAAAAUAUUAAAAUUCCUCUUUUCUUCAAGCAUAUUUGUAAUAGUGUCCAAUUGAACUUUUAAUGUUAUAAAAUUGCAUUUAGCCUUUAAGUAUCUCAAACCAUCAUCAAAUGACACACCUUUGGUAAUUUCUUGGUUACCUCUAUCCAUAGAGUUUUGCACGUAGUAACCAUUCAUUGCCGAACUUUCACUUCUCAUGCAUUGUUCUCCAAAUUGACCUACCCUCCUCAUUACCUAAAAUUGCUUUUAAACAACUUAAGAACAAGAUUAGUAAGAAAAAUAGGUGAUAAAACACAUACACACAUUAAACACAAAAAUAAAAGAAAAUAACAUUCAAGACUAACUCGACAAAUACACAACAAACUAGGCUCAAUAAAUACACAAGAAUAAUUAUUAAAAUAUCUAAACUAAUAAAGUUGCUCUUCACGCCGAUAUUGCCACAAAUCUUCUCCGGCAACAGCGCCAGAAACUUGACGAGUUUUUGAUUGUACAAGUUUAAAUCCAAUUUAUACCCAUUUUGACUCCAAGUAUACAGGUCAAAUUAGUAGUUUAGGACAUAUAUCGGGUCGAUCCCAUGACAAAGAUUGAACAAUUACCGGCACUACUAAAGCUUCUCUAUUAUUUGAACGAUCAAUGAAUUAAAAGAAAUAAAAUUAUGCUAAACUUGUGCAAGAAAAUAACAAAUGGAAGCUCCUUAGGUUAUGAUAUUCCUAACUACUCAUGCAAGAGUUAGUCCAUCAUUGAGUACUACUAUCUGGGUUAGUUAUGACGUAAUUUUCUUAUGCAUAUGAAAUCUACUCUCAUAGUGAAUCAACUAUAUUUAUAACUAAUCCAUACCUACUCUCGUGGUUAUAAAAUUAGCUACAAGUUCAUUUCUUUUAUGAAAUUAUAUGAAAUGAAUCACUAAAGCAACAAAGGUGCACCUUUACUCUCAUGAGUGUACUCCUUAGAUUUAGCACUUCUUGAACUAGUGUUAAAUCUUAAUUUUCAUUAAAGAAACAACACCUUUAGAUAAUCACAAUUAAUGGUACCAAGUUAAUCAUGAUUUAGAGAGCAAAAGUGUUAAAUAACUUGCUCAAAAUAAAAGCAUCAAAUUAGCCAAAUAAUAAACACUAAUAAUCAUAGAAAGUUUAACCAAACCCAAAGCAUAAACUUUAGAAACACAUAAUAAACAUACAAUCCAAACUUGUAUAUUAACUAAACAAUAUAAUCAAGUAUAAAAGAUAAAGAGUUUGGAAAGAAAUGUAACCCUUGUCACAUGAGUUCAUCUUCUCCAUCUUCAUCUCCUUCUUCAUUUUUGUCUAACUAAUAAAUAAGAAGGAUUGACUGACUGAUUAAACUAUCCUAUCCUAUUCUAAUCUAACACUAAGAAAAUGUAAGAACUACAUUUGUGAGGACUUGUGAAAUCCCUUAUAUUUUUUUUUAAAUUCCCUUUAAUUUAGAAUUUAUUACUUUACAAUAGCUUUACUACUCAUUCACUUCCCCAAUAGUUACAAUUAAUUAUAGAACCAAGGGUUUCUUCUUUACUUUCAUCGUUAAGAUAAACUAGGGUGUUUACGUCUUUUUGUAGUGUGAGUAAUCGGUACGGAGUGUAUACUAAACUUGGUGGUUAAGAGUGAGUUUUAGAUAAGAAAAAGUGAGUGAUUAGAAGUAAUAAUAAUAAGUUAGAGAAUGGUAAGUGAAAACCCUAGUACGUGUGAGUUAAGGAAAAACGGUGUGAACCGAUGGGUACCGUUUGUUACCGAGUAAACACACCACUUGACCAACAUUUUAUUAACUUAAUUUCAUUGUCAUUAGUGCAAAAAUAUCAGCCCUAAUUACCCUAGAGAGAGAGCCAAAAUUCUUGACUAAAAAGAAAGGAAAAAGAAGAAAAAAAAUUCAAGAUGAAAUCUUGUGGUGACACUUGGAAGUCAUCCAACCAUCUUUGACCAACUCAAGUCUUAGUUUCUUAUCCUUUCUUGGAGCUUCAUUCUUCCCUCAAAAUCCUCCAUGGUGGCCGAAACUCAAGGAAGAAAAAAGAGAGAAGAAAACUUCAUUUCCAUCUUGAUUUGUAGUUUAGUUUGAGUGAAAACCAAAAAUCUUAACCGAUUAACCCCUUACUUCGGAACCUAGAAAGCUUUGUGUGCUAAAGUUUUGGAAGGAAAGGUGGCGGAUUUCUCUUGCAAGCAUCUUGGUGAGGUAUUAUGGCUCUCCUUCCUAUUUCUUUCCCUUAAUCUUGUUUAAGUUUUUAUAGCAACUUAUACUCUUGGCUAAUGAUGGUAAUUUAAGUAGUUUUGAUGGAUAUGGUGGAUUUUUUAGUUAGAGUUUGAGUUGUUCAGCUGUAUUUCUUGUUUUUUAGAUAGCAUAUGAUAUCUAUAAGCUGGGAUAGGGAGUUGGGAUAGUGGUUCAAGACAUGAAUGAGAAUGUAAACCUUGAAUUCAUCAAAUUUCCAGCUUUAAAGAUUGAACUGCCUUGCUUCUGACCAACUUCAUUCGUCCAUGUUAGAGGCCACAUUAGGCUUAGAUCAAAACAUGAGAGUUGUAGGAAAUGAUGUUAUAUAGCUUUCUGUGAAAUUUCAGCUCAAUCGGAGAACUGUAGCAUGUGAAAUGACUGAAAUACCCUUGACUACCAAAUCUUCUUUUCCCCGGACGGUUUUGAGCUUUCACAUUUCUGGCUUCAUUUUUCACUUUGAUCUGUAUGAAAUCAACCUUUGACCAAAGCACAAAAAGUUUAACCUAUGCUUCAGCUUUCCAACACAUCUGAAAAUGCCUCAAUCGGAAUUGUGUAGCCUAAGUUAUUGCCAUUUGAAUCCAGUGCUGAUAACCAGACUAACCAGGAAAUUCUGGUUCUGUAAUCUGCAAAUUCGACCCAGAUCAACUGUGAACUGGGUUGAGUUAUCUUCAUAAAAAUUGUAACUCUUUGUCUUAGCUUCGAAAUGGCUUAAAGUGCAUCCCAAUCCGAUAAGCAUACCUUCGGUUGUGACCGAAACGCUAAGAGACGUUAAACCUGUUAUUUUGAUAUUUGUCUUAAACAUUAGUUCCGGUCAAUUUGCUAGCAUUGUUUUGUAAUUGAGUGACAUUGAGCCUAUUGAAAGGCUAUUGUAAUAUGGUUAUUUGUGUGUGAUUUUGAGGCUGAAUUGAGAAGAAUAAUGAAGUUAUAAAUGGCUGAAAAAUAGGUAAACACAAAGGGCGUGCUGCCCAAAUUUUCACUCGAGGCUUGGUAGAGAUACUCGAGACUUGAGUAAGGGUUUGAGAACGAAUCUCACUUGAAUCGUCUAGGGUAUUCAAGUCUUCUUUCAUAGAGGUAUAUAAGUUAGAAUUCGGCGAAACUUGUACCCUGGAAAAUGAAAGUAACGACUAAUAGAAAUACAUUUUUCUCGUCACUUCGACUCAAAUGGAGAUUUCAAAGUUUAAUCGUUCCAAAGUUUCAAAGUUUUAAGAGCGAGCAUGAGUUUACAAAUAUUCUCCAAAUGAGUUUCAAUUACUUGAUUCUUGUUAAACGAAACGUUUAAGUUUCGAACCUUAGUUGAUUUUCAAAACUCUUCAACGAUGUUUUAUCGCAGAUUUGGACUCCCAACAAGGAGUAAUACCUGAACAUGAUCCGUAGAAGCACUACAUCUUUGGUGAGUGCUUCCAAAUACCUGAUUGAACUUGGUACUUGUGUUUAAUACGUGACCAAUGUGGUUACAUGAUAUAUGAGUGGAUUGAUAAGGUAAGAGUAUACUUUAUCACACUUGCUCUAAUGUGAUAUAUUCUUGUUCAAUGAUUUCAAUUGAAUUGAUAUACAUGUAUUUGAGUUGUAUUUUGUCUGGAAUUCUAGAAACCCUAUAACUAGUUAAUCGAGUCGAGCCGGCAAGGGUUUGGUCGAUUAGAUAACGAACCCUGGGUAGUUAGUGUUGUCGAGUGGAAUGUUAUCUCCUCGACUAAUCGGUAUACUCGAGUAUUACCAUUAGUGUUUAUUGAGAAUUUUGGGCCCAAUAGGGGGUUUGGUUGGUGGACGGAGAUUGUAGUUAAGUGGUUCUCUACUGGAUUGGUUACUUUACAUGAAAGUUGACAGAGUGUCAACUACUACUUGAUCACGCUCUGGUAAAGCAAUGGGAACUUGGCCCUUGUGAGCCAUUCGUAUCCUUAUCCUUUGACAUGAUUAUUAAUUAUCGGGUUAUUGUUUCUUUUGAAAAACUUUACAUUCGCUCAUUUUGAGAAUUGUUAUUUGAAAAGUUAUUGCUCACUUUUAUGAACUUGUUAUGCUCGCUUACUUGUCCUUUUAAAUAAUGGUCAACUUGCUAUUUGGAACCUCAUUGAGCUUUUAACUCAUUCCAUGCCAUUUGUUUUCCUUACAGAUGAUACGAAUAAGGCGUGAUCAAGCACGAAACGCGAGGGCGUGCGCGCGGGAGAAAGGGUUGACUUUUGAAUUAAUUGGAGCCACACAUUUUAGCUUCUCUUGGAAGCUUCAUUAGAGCCCAAAACACACUCACUUUUGCUCCCAUUCCAGCCGUGCACUUCAAGAGAAAAAGAACCAAGUUUCUUCUUCAAUUUCUUCUUCAAAUCUUCACUAAUCCUUCACCAAAUCAUCUCAAAUUUUAAUCACACUUUGCUAAACACUUGGAGAGCACUUCAAGCUAGAAAAGGAGGCUGCUCUCACGGUUUUUCUUGAGCAAAUAAGGACCGAAAUUUCUGCCUUAAUCAUCUAAGUAAGUAAGUGAUGAUCGACCUUCAAAAUCUUAAUUUAUGAAAGUUGUAUUGCACAUAUAACCUCAUAUAUUCAUGUGGGAAGCUUUAUUUAUGUUGGAUUUUGGUGAAUGGGCUCUAUGAACUCCCACAAUUGCUUGAUGGACUGAUUUGCUGCGUUUUGAUGUUAUUAAUGUUGGAUUAGUGGUUAAUCUAGUGGAAAUAGGUUGUAUUGUUGAAGGAAAGUUCAAAGGAAGUGAAGAAGGAAUUUUUCCAUUUCUGCGCCUGUCCAUGCCAUGGCCCUUAGGGGAAUUUUUCAUGGUUCUAAUGACUUUUUUUUUAUGUAUAUAUGUACUAUAGGUUGUGUAGAAAGUUUCAUCAAAAAAUUACGUGAUUUAGUUGGCCAAAUGUUGUGAUUUCGAAAGUUCCUUCAAAACUGGAAUUUUUCCCGUAUUGCACAGGCAGUGUUUUUCAAACAGCUAUAACGUUUUGCUCCGACGUCGAAAUUGAGUGCCAUUUGUGGCACUGGAAAGUAGACAUUCUCAGUUUUCCAAUGGUAUAAAAUUCAUGUCCAGACUCCACCUGAGUGAACGGUACCACUCAUUUGAAUUGUGGUGUCCUGUUUCGCUGCUUCACUGGAGUCCACGUCUUGAGCUGCAACUUGAUGCUCAAAGAUGAACUAGUUGUGGACAGAUUUUAAAAAUGAUUUCUUCUGAGAAAUUGUAACCUUAUGAAUGAAGUUUUCAACACCACCAACUACGCUCAAUUCCAAGUUGCAUUGAGUGAGAUAUCGCUAAAUUACAGACCUGGAUUUUUGCUUGAAAAUCCUCUUUUGGCUAGUUAAAUGGCCUAGCUUGAUUUGAGACUUGUUGUUUUGGAAACUUUGAUGUCCGACAUCUACCAAACUUUAUAUUAGAUGUUCCUUGGACUUUUUUUCACAAAUAAACCAGAUUUGGGUUGGUUGCAUUGGACAAAAUGUUUAAUAAGGAAAGAAGAGCUAGAAGACAGUUUUGCCUUGGGAAAUUUCUUGAACUUUGAUGGUUUAGUUAACUACCUUCCCGUGUGAAUUUUCAAAUGAAAUUUGAUAGAGGAGUAGUCCUCAUAUGGAGGUUUAAUUGUACAAAAUUUGGUGAUAUUAUAAGACCAUUUUGAUAUGCAAAUGAUGUCCCGAAAUUGCUCUUCGAAUCUGGAAAACUUUCCUUUUCUCUUAGUCGAAUGGCCAAUCUUGACUUGGGACUUGUUAUUUUGAAAUUCUUGGUGUUAAUCACCUACGAACAUGUAUCUUGAAUGUUACUUAGACAUUGUCAACACAAAUGAACCAUGUUUGAAAAUAUUUCAUUAGCCAAAUGAUUUAGAAAAGGGAAAUGGUAGCACAAGGCAGCUUUGCCUUGAAAAUUUAGAAACUUUCGUGACUUUGUUAACCAACUUUCCGUAUGUAUUUUUCCAUAAAAUUUGACAAAGGAAUAGCCCUUAUAUGAUAGUGUAAUACUGCCAAAUUUGGUGCCAUUUCGAGUCCGUUUCAAUGCUUAACCAAAGUCCCAAAGUUUGUGAUUUGAACCUGGAAAUUGCCUAAAAGUUUCGAUUUUUCAGCAACUUUAAGCUACUAUGUCUUGGUGCUCAAAAUUCCGAUUCUUGUUCUGCUUGUUAUGUUUUAAACUUUUUUUGUGACUCUAAUUGAUUUCCAAAUUUCAGAGGCUGGUUCACAUUGUGUGAAUUUUGCUGAAUUUCCAAAGUUUGCCGAAAACCAACACCGAAACUGUCUCGCAAGCCAAAACAGCAACUUUGAGACAAAUUUUGAAUACCUUCCGUUUGGAAUCAUGGAAAAGUGUCUUCUAGAAACUUUUAGUACUUUGGAAGUAGUUUCCAAUGGUACCAAGUUUUUCAAUUUUGGACUCAUAGAGAGUGAGAUUUGAUUUUUCAAAGUUUACUUGCCGAAUAUGAAAUUUUCGAACUUAAAGGAAAUUGAGGGUUUCAAACUCUCCAUUUUCCUCCGAUAUUGCUAGACCGUUUUACACUUCAUUUCAAAGGCAAAAAUCAGAUUUCUCUUAUGCUUUUGAAACCCACUUCCGAGUCUCGAUUAUAAAUAAUUAAGGUUAAUUCAUGAAUUCUCCUUAGAUUGUACACUAGUACUGUGACGGCUCCACCUCCCCCUAGGGCGUACCCCAGGGUUUAGCGGAUCGCCUGCCCAACUCUUGUCAGGACUCACUCACUCGUAUCUCAAAAAAACUAAGAACGUACAUCCAUAGAAAAUGAAUAACACAUCCACUUAAUAAAUACAUUGAUACUCAAAUCCAGAAACAAAGCUUCUACACACCAAAAUACUCCAAAGUGUUUACAAAUCGAGUACAAUCAACCCUAGUCGGGUACUAGCGUGAGUACAUCUUCAAAUUCAAAACAACUAGAUUACGCUAAUCUGUACAUGUCCCAUGCCUCGCUCGUACCCCCUGUAAGGAAAACAAAUGGCGUGGAAUGAGCUAAAAGCCCAAUGAGGUUCCAAAUAACAAAUUGACCAUUUUGAAAGUACGAAUAUCAACGUAACAAGUUAAUGGGCAUCAAAAGUUCAUAAAAGUGAAUAAUAAUACUUCAAGUAGCAAAUCUCAAAGUGAGCGAGUGUAAAAGUUUUUCAGAAGAAUCAAUAAUCCAAUAAACAAUAAUCAUUCCAAAAUAUAAGGAUACGUAUGGCUCUCAGGAGCCAAAUUCUCAUCGCAUCACCAGAGCUUGAUCAAGUAAUAGUUGACAUUCCGUCAACCUUCAAGUAAGUAACCAAUCCAGUAGAGCACCACUUACACUACUCUCCGUCCACCAUUCACACCCCCUAUUGGGCCCAAAAUCCUCAAUAAACACGGGUGGUAAUUGUGAGAACCCUGAAAAUAUACAUAUAAAUAUCAGUGCAUAUUUUAUUUGCAUUUUAAUUCUUUAAUAAAUUUUAGCACUAAGUCCCAUUGUUUUUAAAUAAGUACAUAGAAAUAAACGUUAUGUGCAAAAUAAAAGAAUUGUGCUAGACUACCAAACUUCUUAGUUUUGUUACAUUAACUUCAUAUUUCGAUGGUAAACUAUUUCAUUGAUCUAAGAAUUAAAUUUCUUUUUUGAAUUCUAGUAUUGUAAUUAAUUGUUUUGAAAUAAAAGUGUAAAGAUAAUUUUUAUGUAAAAAAAAAAAUAAUAUAAUUGUGCCCAAUAUUGAAUUAUUCGGUUUUGUUACACUAAAUUAAUAUUUCUCGAGUUAGAGUAAUUUUAUUGCUUAAAAACAAACUCUUUGAAUUCCGAUAGCUAAUUUAAUCGUUAAUAAUGUUAAGAGUUAAUAGGAACCUUAGUAUUAAGUUGCAUUUGAUAAUUUUAGACAAAACCAUUACAAGUACACUUAGUAUACUUAGGACGUUAAAAUCUCGAUAAUCAAAUCUUUGCGAGAUUAGUAUAUUAUUAAGUAUUCAAAUUACAUUUGGGAUAAAUUUUGGAAUUAGAUUAAGUUAGAAAUAGGGACUUAAGUGGAUAUUAGGAGUGGAUAUUAGGAGAGCAAGUGAAAAGAUCAAAAUUACCCUCACAACCUCACGAAAUAACCGUCUGUCACCACCUCACAUUCGGCCAAUACAUUUCUUUCCCACUCCAACACACAACCGCACAAGCACUCUACCUCCAUUGCCAAAACCGCGGCUCCACCUCCACUUUUCUUCACAAUCCAACUUCUCACCUCAGCUCCACAACACCAUUUCCCUUUCGGAUCAGCAGCUGGAGCAAGGUAGGAGAGCUGAAAUCCGCAAGCUACACCCAGUUUUCCAGCCGCAACAACCACCACAGCUCCACCAUCUGCUCAGCCAAGACAACCCCAAACCAGUCGCGAGCCUAGGGAAAUAAUUCUGCCCAGAUUUGUUCGUGCGUGAACGGAGCAUUAGCAGAGGUACUUCUUGAUCUAGUUUGAGUUGAUUAGAGGGUUCUGGAGCUAACUUAAAAUCUUGCAUGUUGAUUAUUAGACUUCGGAUGGUAGUUACAAAAACAGCAAAAAUUUUCUGAUGUGCGAUAGUGCUUCAUCCGAGACUGAUUGGAAUGAUGCUACCUUAGAUGAUCAAACUCUGUUAUUCUGAGCUUGUUGUGAUGUUUAAUUAACUAAUCACUAACUAAUUAAAUUGUUCAAAGCUUUGCAUGGGAACUUGGAACUUUCGGAUGAUGAACCAAGGAACAUAAGAAAUUCUGUUUUGAUGUAGUAAUGUUGCCGUGAGCUUGAGCAGAAAAUGUAAGUUUAACUUGCCUAAAUGUGACCCUCUGAAUUGAUCCCUGUGCUUAAUUAGUCAAUAACUAAUCAGUUAAGCUGUGCAUGUAGCAAUGAGAUGGCCUAAACCAGAAAAAUAAAAAGGAAAAUUUGAAAGUGGUUCAUGCAUGAUCACCGAGGCUCAUGGGAGAAUUUCUGGAUUUUUGGGAAAUUUGUAGUUGCUAAUUGAAUUCAAUUUUUGAGUUAAAAAUGUCAACUAGUUAGCUAAGUGUUUAAACGCUGAAUUGAGUACCUAAUACCAUACUUAAACCAAGGAAAAAUUCGAACUAAAGUAGAUUGGUUGCUGGAAAUUUUGGGUGAUAGCCGAAGGGGUAUGAUCCAGAAUUUCAAUAUCGUUGGGAAAAUUGUAAUUUGUUUCUGGAAAUUUAUUUUAUUUCCUUGGAUUAUGGUGGCUCAGAAUUUCAUAAGAGAUGCAAAUUUCAAGAUAUACAAUUUGUUUAGCAACGAACCAAUUAGUACAUAUAAAGUUGGAACCAAAAACGCUAGUAUACAAUUGCUGGAAAUUCUCUUGUGAUUGCCGAAUAUUGAGUUGAAUUAUCAACUUGGAUUCUGGAAAUUUUCUUGAAAAUAUAAUGGUUAAAAUGCCUGGAAUAUGUUGUUUGGGAAUCUAUAAGGAAUGCAUGGACGGCUUGAAAUAAAAACAUGUUGGUGUUAAAAGAAAAAAAAAAAAAGGAGUUUUUCAUUAGUGGAAAAUGAAACUCCAGAUUUUCGGAUGUCCCUGACCAGUCUCGAUAAAAUGUUUAUAUCUUGGUGUAGGAAAAUCCGUUUAAGGCGCCGUCAGUGGUAUUUGAAACUAGAAUCAUAGGCCUUUGACCUAUAGAGAUUUCGUAUUUUUCCUCCAUGUGUAUCGCUGUCUGUGAAUGUUUAAAGUAGACUGUUUUGCAUGAAUAUCCUGUUUCUUUGAGAAACUAAACUUGAAUUUGGAUUGAGAUUUUAUCUUACUUGUGGUUCAAAUUCUUGAUUCAAUUGUAGUUGGAAGUAACUAAUGUCGUCAAGGGCCAAUGAUUGAUGAAGCCCUUGGCCAUUUGAAUGACUUUAUAAGUACCACGGUGUGAUGAAAGUGAAUUGCUGGAAUGUCUUGGAAGCUUUACUUUUACUUUUACUUGCUUAUGUUGGGUUUGCUGAGACCAAGUGCUAAUGAUUGAUGAAGCCUUGGUUGAUCAUGUUAGUUUAUUCGGAAAUGCACUUGUUGAAAUUUAAGGCUAAUGAUUGACGAAGUCCUAGUAAUUUGUUAUGUGAUUUUUACCACAUUUUGAUUCAUAUUAUGAUUUCGAAACGGAAUCGGAGCUGUGGAAGUUGUAUCGACUUAGCGAACUCGAGUAACUGUGGUCAAAUUAAUCAAAAAUAUUUUUCCAGCUAGUAUUAUAUUAUAAAACUCCAUAUCUAGUGCUUUGCCUAAAAAUUUUCCAACUCGAUAAUUUCCUUUAGCUCAAACUAGCCUUGAUAGCUAUAGUAAAUAAGUUCUAUAGCUUUUGAAAACUUUAAGUCUUAUUUUAACUCCUUUUCUUUCCUUAAGCUUUGCACUUGGAUAGUUAACUAUAGGAAAAGUUCCAAAAUACGAGUUUUACUAAUUUUAGUGAAAAGCUUGAGAAACUUACUCGGCAAGAAACCUUAUUUUUAGGUAAAAUAGUUUAGUAAUAAUUUUGCAAAAACCAUAGCUUUAAAGAAAUGUUCAAAGUAACUUCCUAACGUGGAUAUUAAGAGAUUUGUCGAUUUAUUUCAAGAAAGUAAUACAAGUUAUUUUUUUCAGGAAAAGUAUCUUAAUGAAAACUAUAGGAAACAAUCCUUCUACUUUGUCACGUAUUAACCCAAGGGACUCUUGAUUUCCUAAGGGAAAGUGAAUUAGUAGUAUGUAAUUAUACCUCAAUGUCUAUAAGCUUAAAAACGGAGUAAAAACUUAUAGUUUCAAUAUUUGUUAUUUUAGGGUAUCGUGAGGAAGUGGAACUCGAAUCCCAAUUUGACAUCUGAACUUCACUCUUGGUGAGUGUCCCUGUUUGUUCUAUUCUUACAUGAUUAAGUGCUUCCUUGAAUUUAAGUGUGAUAAUCGCAAAAAUUGGUUUUGAUCCAUCGAAGUGAGCGGUGUGUACUUUACCACACUAGUCGUUCGAGUGGUGACUUGUGUAAAGCAUUUUUUUUGUGAAUCCAAGUGCUAGACGUAAAGUCGUUGGGUGAAUCCCUCGACGAGUCAAUAAUAAUAAAUCAAGUGCUAGACGUAAAGUCGUUGGGUGAAUCCCUCGACGAGUCAAUAAGAGUAAAUCAAGUGCUAGACGUAAAGUCGUUGGGUGAAUCCCUCGACGAGUCAAUAAUAAUAAAUCAAGUGCUAGACGUAAAGUCGUUGGGUGAAUCCCUCGACGAGUCAAUAAGAGUAAAUCAAGUGCUAGACGUAAAGUCGUUGGGUGAAUCCCUCGACGAGUCAAUAAUAAUAAAUCAAGUGCUAGACGUAAAGUCGUUGGGUGAAUCCCUCGACGAGUCAAUAAUAGUAAAUCAAGUGCUAGACGUAAAGUCGUUGGGUGAAUCCCUCGACGAGUCAAUAAGAGUAAAUCAAGUGCUAGACGUAAAGUCGUUGGGUGAAUCCCUCGACGAGUCAAUAAUAAUAAUGUAAGUUCAGGACGUAACGUCGUUGGGUGAAUCCCUCGACCAGUCUAAGGUACACUUGGGUAUUAUCGCCUUCCUAUUUGUUUACUUCAGUCGAAUCAAUACGUGCUAAUUGUUUUAAUUGAUUGCAUGUUUUUGGGGCACCACUGAGCUUUAGCUCACCCCACGUUUAAUUGUUUUCCUUGACAGGUCUUGAAGUUUGAGAAAUCUGAGCAGUGCUGAUUUCUUUUAAUUUGUACUUGAAUCUUAAGACUGCAGUUUACCGUUGUAUUGUAUUGUGAAUUGAAAAACGUAUUGGUUAUUUUGGAUUGCCACUUGAAGCUGGAAAAUGUUUAAACCCUAAUUAUUAUGUUUGGCUUGUAUGGUUGUAAUCGUGGUGUGUGACAGUAUAUAUCCGGAUUGGUACGACCUUAUACCUUAGAGGUAACGCGUGAGAUGUAUAAGAGCCGUCGACUGGCUAUCUUCUUUACUGCUAUCUCUGAAGUUAAUGUAGAUUUAAGGAUGAUCCUAUCUGGGAAAAGUUGUUUUGUAACAGAUUAGGUUAUUCUUCGGAAGGAUCCGGGUUAGUGUGCGUGCGUGAGUCCUGGCGAGAGCUGGGCAGACGGCCCGCCAACCCUCUGGUUCGCCUUAGGGGGAAGUGGGGUCGUCACAGGUGGUAUCAGAGCCAUAUGCCGACAGUUGGGACUUUAAGUCCUUCGUCUGGAAAAGCCCCGAGCCUCUCGUUCGUGAAGAGUCACGAAGCGAAACUCUCCGUAGGGGAUGCCCGCGUGCGGGUGGCAAGCUGAUAGGUACCCCGUGAUGUGACCCUGAGAACUGUCACAGGUGGUAUCAGAGCUCUUAUCGAGCUCGUGCCGGGAAAGGAUUCUCGGACUGUGGGGAUUGGCUUGUUAAGUGUGAAACAAAAGUCGAUAGUUGAGGAUAUUAGAUAUGUAUGUUGGGUAGGAAUCUCAAAUGUAGGUAAGUUACUCUUGGGACUGGCCAGCCUGAGAUGUAAAUUAUCCUAUUGUCGGAUUCUUGUACCCGAAUACCAGAUAUUUCAUUCAAUGAUGUAUUUGCAAAUUUGGAAGAAUUUAGUAUAUUGCAUUAUGAUGUGAUUAGAGAUCAAAUCCAGAAAAGUAGAACCGAAAGUAUCAAGUUUAGCUUUUGAAAGAUAAAAGUGAAGAGCCAAUAGUGAGAUCUUGAAGAUUAGUGCCAAUUCUGUACUUAAGAUGAAUAAUUUUACUAGUCAUUCAAUGGUAAAUGGAAUAUAUGCCAUCUCUUACCCAAAAUAAUGGUUUAGACAUAGAAUUGAGUGAAAUAGUAGUUUAGACAGGAACUAUGCAGUUGUGAACAGCUUUAAACCUUGAGGAGAGUCUUUAAAACUGAGGUGAGAUAAGUUGACGAAUUUGCCAUGUGAGGUGAGUUAUCGAUGACAUUGUGGUUCCUUAAGUUUUACUGGAGGACUAUUCGGGACUAACGUCCAAAAGGAUAAAGAUAACUAGUUGUUAGGUUAUUAGAAAAGCCAAUGUAUGAAAUGUUUGAGAUCAUUUAGAAUACUUAAGAGUCAUUGAUGUACUUAAGUAAUGAUCAUGUUAUUCGAUUUAAUAUUAGACGUGGUAGAUCUACAAUCCACUAAGGUUAAGUUGAAUCUAAACUAAGGGGUUGAGCUAUUAGUUAUGUGGUUAUAAUAAUUUGCGUAUUAUUGAAUUGUUUUCUUUCGUGUUUAUAAAGAUUGAAGUUUGAGUUAUGUAUGAAAAUAUUGAAUGUAUUCGUGAAUUGUUUGGCUCUUGAAGUUGUAUGAAAUUGGUGUGCAAUGUGACUCAUAUUGUGUGUAUGAAACUUGAUGACUACACGUCUACUUUGUUAUAAUGUUGAAAAAAAAAAUAAAUAAAUAAAUUCUCGAACCAACUCAAUUCCAAACACCAAUGGGUGAUAAGAAUAUAAUCAGUAGCUUAACUCAUAAUAAUUGCGAAUUCUGGAUCGGAGGGCAUAAAAUACUAGUGGAUCUAAGCAGAGUGGAUAUAAAAGGUUAUGAUGUUGUUAUAGGAAUGAAUUUUUUAACUCAUCAUCAUGCUAAGCUUGAUUUCAGAGCAAAAGUGUUAGAAUUUUGGAUUUCCGGAGAAGCAACUUGGGAGUAAGAAGAAGAAAUACAGAAAAAGUAUUCCGAUUUGUUUCUCAAGAAAGUGUGAAUUUUGAGGACAAAAUUCAUUGUAAGGAGGGGAGGAUGUGAGAACCCUGAAAAUAUACAUAUAAAUAUCAGUGCAUAUUUUAUUUGCAUUUUAAUUCUUUAAUAAAUUUUAGCACUAAGUCCCAUUGUUUUUAAAUAAGUACAUAGAAAUAAACGUUAUGUGCAAAAUAAAAGAAUUGUGCUAGACUACCAAACUUCUUAGUUUUGUUACAUUAACUUCAUAUUUCGAUGGUAAACUAUUUCAUUGAUCUAAGAAUUAAAUUUCUUUUUUGAAUUCUAGUAUUGUAAUUAAUUGUUUUGAAAUAAAAGUGUAAAGAUAAUUUCUAUGUAAAAAAAAAAAUAAUAUAAUUGUGCCCAAUAUUGAAUUAUUCGGUUUUGUUACACUAAAUUAAUAUUUCUCGAGUUAGAGUAAUUUUAUUGCUUAAAAACAAACUCUUUGAAUUCCGAUAGCUAAUUUAAUCGUUAAUAAUGUUAAGAGUUAAUAGGAACCUUAGUAUUAAGUUGCAUUUGAUAAUUUUAGACAAAACCAUUACAAGUACACUUAGUAUACUUAGGACGUUAAAAUCUCGAUAAUCAAAUCUUUGCGAGAUUAGUAUAUUAUUAAGUAUUCAAAUUACAUUUGGGAUAAAUUUUGGAAUUAGAUUAAGUUAGAAAUAGGGACUUAAGUGGAUAUUAGGAGUGGAUAUUAGGAGAGCAAGUGAAAAGAUCAAAAUUACCCUCACAACCUCACGAAAUAACCGUCUGUCACCACCUCACAUUCGGCCAAUACAUUUCUUUCCCACUCCAACACACAACCGCACAAGCACUCUACCUCCAUUGCCAAAACCGCGGCUCCACCUCCACUUUUCUUCACAAUCCAACUUCUCACCUCAGCUCCACAACACCAUUUCCCUUUCGGAUCAGCAGCUGGAGCAAGGUAGGAGAGCUGAAAUCCGCAAGCUACACCCAGUUUUCCAGCCGCAACAACCACCACAGCUCCACCAUCUGCUCAGCCAAGACAACCCCAAACCAGUCGCGAGCCUAGGGAAAUAAUUCUGCCCAGAUUUGUUCGUGCGUGAACGGAGCAUUAGCAGAGGUACUUCUUGAUCUAGUUUGAGUUGAUUAGAGGGUUCUGGAGCUAACUUAAAAUCUUGCAUGUUGAUUAUUAGACUUCGGAUGGUAGUUACAAAAACAGCAAAAAUUUUCUGAUGUGCGAUAGUGCUUCAUCCGAGACUGAUUGGAAUGAUGCUACCUUAGAUGAUCAAACUCUGUUAUUCUGAGCUUGUUGUGAUGUUUAAUUAACUAAUCACUAACUAAUUAAAUUGUUCAAAGCUUUGCAUGGGAACUUGGAACUUUCGGAUGAUGAACCAAGGAACAUAAGAAAUUCUGUUUUGAUGUAGUAAUGUUGCCGUGAGCUUGAGCAGAAAAUGUAAGUUUAACUUGCCUAAAUGUGACCCUCUGAAUUGAUCCCUGUGCUUAAUUAGUCAAUAACUAAUCAGUUAAGCUGUGCAUGUAGCAAUGAGAUGGCCUAAACCAGAAAAAUAAAAAGGAAAAUUUGAAAGUGGUUCAUGCAUGAUCACCGAGGCUCAUGGGAGAAUUUCUGGAUUUUUGGGAAAUUUGUAGUUGCUAAUUGAAUUCAAUUUUUGAGUUAAAAAUGUCAACUAGUUAGCUAAGUGUUUAAACGCUGAAUUGAGUACCUAAUACCAUACUUAAACCAAGGAAAAAUUCGAACUAAAGUAGAUUGGUUGCUGGAAAUUUUGGGUGAUAGCCGAAGGGGUAUGAUCCAGAAUUUCAAUAUCGUUGGGAAAAUUGUAAUUUGUUUCUGGAAAUUUAUUUUAUUUCCUUGGAUUAUGGUGGCUCAGAAUUUCAUAAGAGAUGCAAAUUUCAAGAUAUACAAUUUGUUUAGCAACGAACCAAUUAGUACAUAUAAAGUUGGAACCAAAAACGCUAGUAUACAAUUGCUGGAAAUUCUCUUGUGAUUGCCGAAUAUUGAGUUGAAUUAUCAACUUGGAUUCUGGAAAUUUUCUUGAAAAUAUAAUGGUUAAAAUGCCUGGAAUAUGUUGUUUGGGAAUCUAUAAGGAAUGCAUGGACGGCUUGAAAUAAAAACAUGUUGGUGUUAAAAGAAAAAAAAAAAGGAGUUUUUCAUUAGUGGAAAAUGAAACUCCAGAUUUUCGGAUGUCCCUGACCAGUCUCGAUAAAAUGUUUAUAUCUUGGUGUAGGAAAAUCCGUUUAAGGCGCCGUCAGUGGUAUUUGAAACUAGAAUCAUAGGCCUUUGACCUAUAGAGAUUUCGUAUUUUUCCUCCAUGUGUAUCGCUGUCUGUGAAUGUUUAAAGUAGACUGUUUUGCAUGAAUAUCCUGUUUCUUUGAGAAACUAAACUUGAAUUUGGAUUGAGAUUUUAUCUUACUUGUGGUUCAAAUUCUUGAUUCAAUUGUAGUUGGAAGUAACUAAUGUCGUCAAGGGCCAAUGAUUGAUGAAGCCCUUGGCCAUUUGAAUGACUUUAUAAGUACCACGGUGUGAUGAAAGUGAAUUGCUGGAAUGUCUUGGAAGCUUUACUUUUACUUUUACUUGCUUAUGUUGGGUUUGCUGAGACCAAGUGCUAAUGAUUGAUGAAGCCUUGGUUGAUCAUGUUAGUUUAUUCGGAAAUGCACUUGUUGAAAUUUAAGGCUAAUGAUUGACGAAGUCCUAGUAAUUUGUUAUGUGAUUUUUACCACAUUUUGAUUCAUAUUAUGAUUUCGAAACGGAAUCGGAGCUGUGGAAGUUGUAUCGACUUAGCGAACUCGAGUAACUGUGGUCAAAUUAAUCAAAAAUAUUUUUCCAGCUAGUAUUAUAUUAUAAAACUCCAUAUCUAGUGCUUUGCCUAAAAAUUUUCCAACUCGAUAAUUUCCUUUAGCUCAAACUAGCCUUGAUAGCUAUAGUAAAUAAGUUCUAUAGCUUUUGAAAACUUUAAGUCUUAUUUUAACUCCUUUUCUUUCCUUAAGCUUUGCACUUGGAUAGUUAACUAUAGGAAAAGUUCCAAAAUACGAGUUUUACUAAUUUUAGUGAAAAGCUUGAGAAACUUACUCGGCAAGAAACCUUAUUUUUAGGUAAAAUAGUUUAGUAAUAAUUUUGCAAAAACCAUAGCUUUAAAGAAAUGUUCAAAGUAACUUCCUAACGUGGAUAUUAAGAGAUUUGUCGAUUUAUUUCAAGAAAGUAAUACAAGUUAUUUUUUUCAGGAAAAGUAUCUUAAUGAAAACUAUAGGAAACAAUCCUUCUACUUUGUCACGUAUUAACCCAAGGGACUCUUGAUUUCCUAAGGGAAAGUGAAUUAGUAGUAUGUAAUUAUACCUCAAUGUCUAUAAGCUUAAAAACGGAGUAAAAACUUAUAGUUUCAAUAUUUGUUAUUUUAGGGUAUCGUGAGGAAGUGGAACUCGAAUCCCAAUUUGACAUCUGAACUUCACUCUUGGUGAGUGUCCCUGUUUGUUCUAUUCUUACAUGAUUAAGUGCUUCCUUGAAUUUAAGUGUGAUAAUCGCAAAAAUUGGUUUUGAUCCAUCGAAGUGAGCGGUGUGUACUUUACCACACUAGUCGUUCGAGUGGUGACUUGUGUAAAGCAUUUUUUUUGUGAAUCCAAGUGCUUGACGUAAAGUCGUUGGGUGAAUCCCUCGACGAGUCAAUAAUAAUAAAUCAAGUGCUAGACGUAAAGUCGUUGGGUGAAUCCCUCGACGAGUCAAUAAGAGUAAAUCAAGUGCUAGACGUAAAGUCGUUGGGUGAAUCCCUCGACGAGUCAAUAAUAAUAAAUCAAGUGCUAGACGUAAAGUCGUUGGGUGAAUCCCUCGACGAGUCAAUAAGAGUAAAUCAAGUGCUAGACGUAAAGUCGUUGGGUGAAUCCCUCGACGAGUCAAUAAUAAUAAAUCAAGUGCUAGACGUAAAGUCGUUGGGUGAAUCCCUCGACGAGUCAAUAAUAGUAAAUCAAGUGCUAGACGUAAAGUCGUUGGGUGAAUCCCUCGACGAGUCAAUAAGAGUAAAUCAAGUGCUAGACGUAAAGUCGUUGGGUGAAUCCCUCGACGAGUCAAUAAUAAUAAUGUAAGUUCAGGACGUAACGUCGUUGGGUGAAUCCCUCGACCAGUCUAAGGUACACUUGGGUAUUAUCGCCUUCCUAUUUGUUUACUUCAGUCGAAUCAAUACGUGCUAAUUGUUUUAAUUGAUUGCAUGUUUUUGGGGCACCACUGAGCUUUAGCUCACCCCACGUUUAAUUGUUUUCCUUGACAGGUCUUGAAGUUUGAGAAAUCUGAGCAGUGCUGAUUUCUUUUAAUUUGUACUUGAAUCUUAAGACUGCAGUUUACCGUUGUAUUGUAUUGUGAAUUGAAAAACGUAUUGGUUAUUUUGGAUUGCCACUUGAAGCUGGAAAAUGUUUAAACCCUAAUUAUUAUGUUUGGCUUGUAUGGUUGUAAUCGUGGUGUGUGACAGUAUAUAUCCGGAUUGGUACGACCUUAUACCUUAGAGGUAACGCGUGAGAUGUAUAAGAGCCGUCGACUGGCUAUCUUCUUUACUGCUAUCUCUGAAGUUAAUGUAGAUUUAAGGAUGAUCCUAUCUGGGAAAAGUUGUUUUGUAACAGAUUAGGUUAUUCUUCGGAAGGAUCCGGGUUAGUGUGCGUGCGUGAGUCCUGGCGAGAGCUGGGCAGACGGCCCGCCAACCCUCUGGUUCGCCUUAGGGGGAAGUGGGGUCGUCACAGUAAUACUCGAGUAUACCGAUUAGUCGAGGAGAUAUCACUCCACUCGACAUAACUAACGACCCAUGGUUCGUUAUCUAAUCGACCAAGCCCUUGCCGACUCGACUCGAUUAACUAGCCAAUGGGGUUUGGGUUCCCAAGAAGUCGAUGAGAUAACCUCUCCAAUCGACGAAAUUAAGAUAAAAGUAUGGAAACGGGAAUGAGAGGCACCUCCCACUUGGAUUGAGUGUGGUACAUACUGCAGCUCCACACUUACAAAUCAAGUACAGGUAUAUCAAGUUAAUUGCAACAAUAAACAAGUAUAAAUCAUGUUAGGGCAAGUGCGAUAAAAUACACUCUUGCCCGAUCAACAAAUCUCAUAUCAAUUAUGUACAAGUAUUGUGAACAAGUGUCCAGGUCAACCAGGUAUUUGGAAGCACUCACCCAAAAUGCGGUGCCUUUACGAGUUACGUUCGGGUAUUACUCCGUGUGCGAAGUCCAAAUCUGCGAUAAAACAUUGUUUAAGAACUUUUAAAAGUAACUAAGGCUCGAAACUUAAACGUUUCGUUCAAUAAGAAUCAAGAAAUUGAAAUUCACUAGGAGAAUAUUAGUGAAACACUCGCUCGCUUUUCAAACUAUAUAACUUUGUAGCAUUAUACUUGGAAAUGUCAUUUGAGUCAAAAGUGCAAGGAAAACGUAUUCCGAGCAGUCAUUAUUUUAUUUGAAAGAAGAUGUAAUAUCCUAGAUGGUUCAAGCAGUAAUCACUCUUAACCCUUACUCAAGUUGCAAGUUUGUCUACCUAGCCCUUGAACGUAAAUUUGGGCAGCACGCCCUUUGUAUUUUCCUAUUUCCAGUAAUUUAUGGCUUCAUUCUUUUCUUCAAUCAAACCCAAAGUUAUACACCAAACAAUCUCAGUCCAAUAGCCAUUCAAUAGGCUCAAGGUAAUACAAGUACAAAAUCAACUAAUGACAUGUACGGAAAUGAAGUUUAGCAAAAGACAGAUUUGACAUGAUUUUGCGUAACGGACACAAUCGAAACUACGCUUAUCGGAUUAGGAUGCAAUUUGUGCCAUUUCGAAGCUAAGACAUAGGGGUACAAUUCUGAUGAAGACCACUUUGUCCAAAUUCCAGUGUAACCUAGUCAAAUUCCCAAUUCACAGAACCAAAUUCCAACUAAUUAGCUAAUUAACUAUACUACCUUUAAAUGGCCAUAUCUCAAGCUACCAAAGUCCGUUUAAGACGUUCUUAGAGGCGUUGAAAAGCUAAGACAAAGUACUAAAACUUUCAUGUUAUGGCUAAAAGCUAGUUCAGUACGUAUCAAGGUGAACAAAUGCAACCAACUUAGUGUACUGGCAAAACUGUUCGCUGAUUUUACUCCUAGGGUAGUCAGGGUAUUUUCAUCUUUUCACAGGCUACGUUGCUCCGAUUGAGCUGAAAUUUUGUAGGCAACCAUAAAAUGUCAUUCUAUACAACUUUUAUGUUUUGUUCCAAGCCUGAUUCGGCCUCUAACAUGAUGAAAUAAAAUCAGGCAGAACUGAAGCUAAAUUUUCCAGAAAUCUGGAAUUUUUGUUAUUUCAAACUAUAAUUCAUAUUUUCACCUUGAAACUACCACUACUAUCACCUUUACAAGAUCAUAUACCACAUAUAUGCAUUAUACAACACCUAACCCACAAGAAACCCUAACUCAAAAGCCAUCCAUCCAAUCAUCAAAACUCUUAGAAACAAGCAUCACAAGCACUAUACUAACAUUAAUACCCAACUUAAUCAUGAUUAAUGGAGAAUGAAUGGUUGAUCAGCCAUUAUACCUCAAGACAAGACCUUGCUAGGAUGAUCCUUCUCCUCUCCUUGAAAUUCUUGGUUCCUUAGGCUUCCCAAGCUUCCAACUAGUGAUUAAUCGGUUUAGUUUUUCUUGGUUGCACUCAAAUGGUUGGAUUCAAGGUAGAAGAUGGAAAACUCUCUUCACUCUCUUGCUCCUCUUGCUCUCAGCCAAAAACAAAAAGAAAUGAGGGAAAAAUUGUAAGGACUCGAAAAUUCUAUUAUUUAAAAAUUCCUAAUUUUUGGCUAAAUUAAUUUUUUAAUUGGAUUUUGCCACAAAUAAUAUUUUCUAGCCUUAUUAGACCUAAGUACAUGGUUUUAUAGUUUCGUUAUAUUUUUAAAGUAUCUCAUUUCAAAAAUUAUUUUCUUAAAAGCUUGAUUAGUGAGAAGUGAAAGCGUGUCUGAAAACUUUAGUCAAUUGGGAGUACAAUAAGCUCAAAAAUUUGAGACAUAUACAAUGGUCCUAAAAUAGGCAAUUUUAGGUUUAAAAACUCAAGUGAUAGUUAGUAGUACGAUCGUUAUAAGAAUUUCUCGAAGGUUUCAUUUUAUCGCGCCUAAAUUGGGAAUACGUGUUUUCACGUGCACGCUUAAUUGAGGGAUCUUGGACCAUUAUUUUGGGACAAUUAAGAAUGAAUAAUAUUUAUAUGAAUAUAGGUGCCCUAGAGGUUUAGUGCACUAGUGCAACAAACUUAAGAGAAAUCGAACACAAAACGCGCGCGUAAGCGCACUAGUUGCAGUUGAUUUUUACGUACUUAAAAUAUUAGACGGUCAGCGUUCCUUGUACGCAAUAGAAUCAGCAAAACAUAUCAUUUCUUCAAGCUCCAUGGACGGCUAGCAGUCAAAAAGGGAGCAACCAAAAACUUUCAACAUUUCCUCUACAAAAACUCACUCAAAUCACCACCAAACCUUCAUAGAUUCACACCAAACUUCACAUACACUUCGCUCUUCACUUGGACAACAUUUUGAGCUUCAAAAGGGAGGAGCUUUUACGGUUUCUUGGAGCCUUUUGAGGACCGAAAUUCUCUGAUCUAAAGCACUAAGGAGGUAUAACAUCAUCCAACACCUUAAGCUUGCUUUAUGGUAGUAGAAGUGCAUCUCUAAGCAAUUGCAUGUAUUUGGAUGACUUGAUAUUGUUGGAAAUUUGAAAAGUGGGCUCUAUGAAUUCCCACUCUUGGGUUGUUGCUGAUAAGAGGUUUAAUGUUGGAUUUAAUGGUAGUUUAGUGGUUAAAAUGAUAGAUUUAUGGAGUAUUAUUGUUGGAAACUCAAAGUGGAGGUCAUGACAAAAUUUUCCGAAACUGCCCCUGCUUUGUUCGGCCAUGAUAAGGCCAAUUUUUGAUGAUCUAAUGGCUUGAACCUGAUGCUUAUAUGUUGUAUUAGAUGUGUAAAAAUUGUCAUUGGAAAACAUUAACGUUUGGAUGGGCAAAUGAAUUUAUUUGUGGACUAGUCAAGCUGGAAAACUGUUUUCGGAUAACCCUGUCCAUCGGUAGCAUUUUGACCAUAACUUUGUCUUCCGACGUCGAAAUUGGGUGCUGUCAGUGGCAUUUGAAACUAGACAUCAAUACCUUUCCAAAGGUAUAAAAUACGUAUUCUGAUUCCAUAUGUAGGAGCCGGACCAUUCAUUUUAAGAUAGCUGUCCUGUUUCUCUGUUUUGCUGGAAUGAUUUGUGGAGGCAGCAACUUGAGGCUCAAUUUCGAGCCGGUUGUUUGCCAAAUUUCAUAAUGUUUCCUUCUGUGAAUUUUUAUCCCUAUGAAUGUAUUUUCCAAUGCCGUAAACUAUGCUCAAUUCCGAGUUAGGUCGACUGAAUUGUGAUCAAAACAAGAACACUGCUCUGUUUUGGAAAAAAACCCAGUUUUGGACAGAUUUGAGAUGAGACUUGUUGUGGUCUUACUAAAUGAAAUUCUUGGUGUUAAACACCUACCAAAUGUACCAUGAAUGAUCCUUAGACUUUCCUUUCGCAUAUGAACCAUGAUUGGAGGAUUUUCUUAGCCAAACGAUUGGAUUUGGAAAGAAAAGGAUUACAGGCAGAUUGCCUUAAGAAUUUUUCCGAACUUUAGUUGGUUCGUUGACUACCUUCCCGAAGGUAUUUUUCUGUGAAACUUGAUAGAGAGAUACCCCUCAUAUAAGAGUAAAAUACUGCCAAUUUUGGAACCAAUCCAAGUUCAUUUCGAUACCUAACUAAACUUCUGGUGUUGGAAGUUCAAAUCUGGAAAUUCUUCUCCAACUUCAAGCUACCGUAUUUCGGUACUCGAAACUCCGAUUCUUGAUCCUCUUACUCUGCUAUAAACCUCACUUGCAACUCUAUUUGAGUUACAAAUUUCAGGGGCCGAUUCGCAACGAGUGAAUCGUGCCGAAUUUUCAAAGUUGGCCAAAAUCCAACUUAAUUCUGCCUUGUGAACCGAGUCAGUAUCUUCAAGCUCAUUUUUGAGCACUUUCCACUUCGAUUCAUGGAAAAGUGUCUUCUAGGAACUUGUAGUAAUUUCUAAGAGUUUUCCAACGGUAUAAAGUUUUCCAAUUCUCGACUUAUACCGAGUGAGUUACGAUUUUUCCAAGAUUCAUAAUAAAACUGAAAUUUUCCAACUUUCAAGGAAAUAUAGUUUUUCAAGAACUCUUUAUUCUUUUGAUAUUAUCUAAACGUUUUAUCCCCGAUUUCCUAGAUAAAGACUUAAAUACUUUUGAAUGUUAUCAAACACCUCUCGAACCUCGAUUUACGAGUAAUUGAGGUUCAUUUUCACGGAAUUCCCUAGAUUAAUACUAGUGAACGAAUUAUUCCUCGAUAUUUGGGAUAUGGAUGAUAAUUCACUAUUAUUUGCUCAAGCGCACACGAGGACCUUCAAGAGGAUCCCACGGUGGACACUUGAACUUUCCUUGACCUUACUUACACCUAAUACUUGGUGAGUGUCAGGUGUAUGUAAACUUGUUACAUGUUUAAUUGCUAUUAAUGAUUGGAAAUCUUUAAAUUGGAGUCGAGUGUGUACUUUACCACACUCGUUCUCAUUAGAAAUGAAAUAGUAAUGAUUGAAAUGUAUUGAAUGAAUGAUUGAAAUGCAUUGAAUGAAUGAUUGAAAUGGAUUGAAUGAAUGAAUGAAAUGUAAUGGUAUGCUAUAGCUGCAUACAUCGUUGGAGUGAAUCUCCUCGACAUACAAGUGCACAUGGGGACGCCCAAAUCUCAUUGGCCGACCUUGGACUCGAGCCGGCAUGGGUUUGGUCGGGAACCUUGGCGAGUCAUGAGAUAUAUAAGCUCGACCUAGUAAGAGGUCUUGCUUGGCAUACUCGAGUAGUAUCGCCACAAACAAAUGACAGGCGGGCCCAAAACAGGGGUAUGUAAGGUGAAAGGGGACAGGUUAAGUGGAGUUCUACGGACUAAACCUACCUGAUUGACGGAGUGUCAAUUCGUGGAGGUUAUUGAAUGUGCAAGUGGAAUAUAGCUCCUGAGGGCUCCAGUAUCCUUGAAUUGUUUCUGGUCAUAUUUCCAAUAAAUUGUUAAUUACUAAAAUAUGAUUGCUUGACUUGUAAAUUGAGAUUGUUAUUUGAGCAAUGUGCUUGUAUGUGUGUUCUUGGCCUCACGAGCGUUUUGCUCACCCCGUAGAUUUGUUUUCCUUAACAGGACUGGAUCCGGGGACGUAUUGGAGAAGCCUUCCUGAUGUACUUUUGUUUAGGGUUUCUAUCUUCAUUUUGACUACGCCUCUUGGUUUUGGGUUGUACUUUUGUAAUUGGAGUGUAGUACUUGGGCAUGAGGUAAAUUUGGGUUUAAAGUUGUAUUUUGAACACCCGAUGUACGGGUUGGAUAAUGGUUGACCAUGGUUAGCUUGAACGCUUCCGCAUCAUUGUAUUUAUGUUGUUGUACUUAUGACUUUUAGAGUAGUAAUAAGUUUGAAUGUUUUGCGUGAGUCCUGGCGAGAGCUGGGCAGGCGUCCCGCAGAUACCCUUUGGUUCGCCUUAGGGAGAAGUGGGGGCGUCACAGUUGGUAUCAGAGCGCUAGAUUAGAGAUCUAUAUGGGAGACAUAUUGGAUACUCUACCCUUAAAACCUAAGACCGGAUAAUUUAGUUAUACCUUAAGAGGUAUUUGGGGCAUACUAGAGCUUGGGUUAGGCAUGCAUAAACGACAUCCGAAUUAGAUAGCGAUUUAAAUUUCUAACCCGAAAGGUGCUAUUAUUUUGUAGGGAUGGAAAACGGAAAUGGAGUUCCGGCAGCUAACGGGAAUGGCCAUGCGAAUGGUCAUGUAGUGCCUCCUAGGCCUAUCUACUACCGAGCUUUAGGUGGGGGAGCUCGUGUACGCUACUCGCCUGUUACUCGAUACCCCCGAUGUGCUUGUAGGGUUACCUUUGCUUACCCGAACUACCUUGUGCUUGCUCUGGACGACGAGCGUCGUCAGCUAGUGGAUCUUAAUAGGGAUCUUCAGACAGAGGUGGACGAGCUUAGACAGAUGGUUAGCGCUCAGGGUGAGCGGAUUGCCGAGCUCGAGGAGGUGAUCGAGGGUGAGGUGGCCACAUCUGCUGUGGUCCGUGAUGAGCUUCAGAAUACUAGGUCUCAGCUUACUAGGUUGAGGGAGGAGGUCCGUAGUAGGGCUUCCGAUAUCGUAGCUGAUGCCACUAGGCUAGUGGAGGAUGCGAUGGAGGUAGCUCCUAGUCCUGAGGAGGAGGAUCCAGAGGAAGAUCCUGAGGAGGAGGUUCCUCCUGAUAGUCCUACUGUGGACUAGGUCAUGGCAGUUUGACCACUCUUUUGACUCUUUUGACUAGUAUAGCUAGAAUUAGCAGGGGUGAUACUAAGUGCUGAGACCAUUGUAUUUUGCAUGACUGUGUGGCUUAUUUUGGAAGUACUUGCUUUUACUUUAGUCUUCUGUGACUAAAAGUACUCUUGUGGCACCUGUGUGCUAUAUUGUUGUGACUACCCCAUGACUUGCUAAUUGUAUGAACUUGAUAUGCUAAUUAAUGUAAAUUAUUGUUAUAUCCAAUAUUUUCUUGAUUGGUUCCUGCUUUCUACUUUGCAUCGCAUAAUUUAUUUAUUUCUUGCACUAGGCACGCCUAGGUCAUGGAAGGAGUAAGAGGUGGUCGAGGCCGUGGGCGAGGGACUAGACCAGCCCAACCUCAGGGGAAUAACCAGGGAUCAGCAACUGGACCGACCCAGGGCCAGCAAAAUAUAGAGGGUAAUCUUGUGGCUACUGCCAUUAAUAGGAUGACUGAUAUCCUAGAGCGUUUGGCUGAUAGACAAGACCCUGGACCGUUCAACCAACCUGGGGAUCAGGGAAGAGGAGAGGAUAGAGCCUUAGAGAGGUUCUUGAAAUUUAACCCGCCUAAGUUUCUUGGCGAACCUGAUCCCGAGGUGGCAGAGAAUUGGUUGGAAAGGAUGACCAACAUUUUUGCUGCUUUAGACUACACUGAAGAUAGGCGAGUGAAUUUCGCUGCUUUCCAAUUUGAGGGAGUAGCCCGUGCUUGGUGGGAUUUGAUAAAAGGAAAAUGGGAGAGAACUCAAACCCCUUGGACUUGGAAAAACUUCACAAGGGAAUUUAAUGAAAAGUUUCUUCCGCCCUUAAUCCAAGAGAAGAGGGAGGAUGAAUUUAUUAAGCUGAAACAGGGAACUCUUAGUGUAGCGGAGUAUGAAGAAAAAUUUACUAAGCUUUCCAAGUAUGCCCCUGAGCUAGUGGUCAAUGAACGAAAGAGGAUUAGACGGUUUAUUCAGGGACUUAAUGUGGAGAUACAAGAGGGCUUGGCUGCAACCCAAAUCUCUACAUUCACGGAGGCACUAGAGAAAGCUCAGAGGGUAGAAAAUGCAAGGAUGCAAGUGAGGGACUUCCACAGUAGAAAAAGAAACUUUCCUAGCCAUACCUCUGGUCAAGCAAGUAAGAGUGCACAACCUUCCAAGAUGGGAAGAGGAGUUGGAGGAGUGAAGUCUGUUGGAGCUUCUAGGGGAGCUCUAACUAGAGGGGGCCGUAGUGGGACAACUCAAGUUAGGGGAGCACCUCCUACUGGAUCGGCUGUGACUCCUCAAGUUACAUGUGGAUACUGCGAUAAAUCCAACCAUUCUGAGAACGAUUGCUGGAGAAAGUCGGGGAAAUGUUUAUUUUGUGGUAGUACUGAACAUCAAGUCGCCAAUUGUCCAAAAUCACCAAAGACAGGGGGAAAUGCUCAAAGGCCAGAAAAGUCAACUUCUAAGCAGACCAGUGCCGGAGGGAGCCGACUGAAAGUACCGGCCAGGGUUUAUGCACUGGAUUAUCAACAAGUUCCUGAGGCAACUGAGGUGGUAGAAGGUACAAUCCCAAUCUUUCACCGUUUAACUAGGGUCUUGAUUGAUCCGGGUGCAACUCAUUCCUUUGUAAAUCCUAACUUCAUGAAUGGGAUAGACUUGAAGCCAAUUAAGUUACCCUAUGACUUGGAGGUUAAAACACCUACUGGAGACAAAAGCUUAAUUGCUAAUCUGGAGUAUAGGAAUAGUGAAAUCUAUGUAGGGGAACGAAAAUUAUGGGCCGAUUUGAUCGGUUUGACGAUUAAGGGAUACGAUGUAAUCUUGGGAAUGGAUUGGUUAGCUUGUUAUAAUGCUCAGUUAGACUGUAGGACGAAGAUUGUAGAGUUGCGUAUUCCAGGAGAAGCAACUCUGAAACUGGAUGUAAGGGGUAGAUUAGUUUCGUCUGCACUUAUUUCAGGAAUUCGGGCUAGAAAAUUUUUAAGUAAAGGAGCUCAAGGGUAUUUGGUUUUUCUUAUUAACACUCCCAGUGAUAAGAUGAAUUUGGAAGACACACCGGUAGUAAAGGAUUUUUCAGAUGUUUUUCCUGAAAAAUUGGAGUCUCUACCCCCGGAACGGGAUAUAGCUUUUAAGAUCGAUGUGAUUCCGGGAGUGGCACCUAUUUCUAGAACACCAUAUCGGAUGGCUCCAGCGGAAUUGAAAGAGUUAAAAUUACAACUGCAAGACCUGUUGGAAAGGGGAUUUAUAAAAGAGAGUGAUUCUCCGUGGGGAGCCCCAGUUUUAUUUGUUAAGAAAAAGGAUGGGAGUUUGAAACUGUGUAUAGACUAUAGAGGUUUGAAUGACAUCACCAUUAAGAAUAAAUACCCACUGCCCCACAUUGACGAGUUGUUUGACCAAUUGCAAGGAGCUGUAGUAUUCUCGAAAUUGGAUUUGAGACAGGGUUAUUACCAGUUGAGGAUUUUGGAGAAAGACAUACCCAAGACUGCUUUUAACUCGAGAUAUGGGCAUUUUGAGUUUGCCGUGAUGCCAUUUGGGUUAACAAAUGCUCCUGCUGCUUUUGUGGACUUAAUGCAUAGGGUCUUUAAACCUUAUCUAGACCAAUUUGUGGUGGUUUUUAUUGAUGACAUAUUGGUGUAUUCUAAGAAUGUGAAAGACCAUGAGAAACACUUGAGGGUUGUUUUACAAACCUUAAGGGAACACCAAUUGUAUGCUAAGUUUAGCAAGUGUGAGUUUUGGUUAAAAGAAGUGACAUUCUUGGGACACAUAAUUUCUAAGGAUGGGAUUAAAGUGGAUCCAGCUAAAGUUGAAACUGUUUCGAAAUGGAAACGACCGGAAAACCCUAUCGAGAUUCGGAGUUUUAUUGGAUUAGCAGGGUAUUAUCGGAGAUUCAUUCAGGAUUUUUCAAAAAUUGCUGGACCCAUGACUGAAUUGAUCAAGAAAAAUGGGAAGUUUAUAUGGAGUCCUAAGUGUGAGGAAAGUUUUCAGGAAUUGAAAAGAAGGUUAACAAGGGCACCUGUGUUAGCUUUGCCAAACGGAAAGGAUAGUUUUGUGGUUUACACGGAUGCCCUAAGGAAGGUUUGGGAUGUGUUUUGAUGCAAAAUGAUAAAGUGAUAGCAUAUGCCUCUAGAAAAUUGAAACCGCAUGAAAGGAAUUACCCGACUCAUGAUUUGGAGUUGGCGGCUGUGGUCUUUGCUUUGAAGAAAUGGAGACAUUAUUUGUAUGAAGUAACAUUCGAGGUUUUUACAGAUCACAAAAGCCUUAAGUACUUGUUUUCUCAAAAAGAGCUGAAUUUGAGGCAACGUAGAUGGAUGGAAUUUUUGGAAGACUAUGAUUGCACUAUUAAGUACCAUCCUGGGAAGGCCAAUGUAGUGGCCGAUGCUUUGAGCCGUCAAGUACAAAUGGCUAGAUUGAUGAUUAAGAAGUUUCAAUUAUUGCAAGAAGUGAGUUACUGGAAUCCUCGAUUGGAACCAAGGAAGGUAAUUUUGGGGAAUAUUAUAGUAACUUUCACUUUAUUGAAACGUAUUAAGGAAUUUCAAAAAAAAGGACACGGAAGUGCAAAAAUGGGCGGAAAAAGUUAAAAUGGGAGACAAGACAGAUUUUAAUCUGGGGUCAGAUGGAAUAUUGAGGUUUCAGAAUCGAGUAGUUGUGCCAAAGGAUGAAGGGCUUAAAAGAGAAAUCUUAGAAGAGGCACACCGAUCAAACUUUACAGUACAUCCAGGAGGGAAUAAAAUGUACCAAGACUUAAAGAGUCUGUAUUGGUGGGAGAACAUGAAGAAGAAAAUUGCCCAAUUUGUCCAAACCUGCUUAAUUUGUCAACAGGUUAAAGCCGAACAUCAGAAACCAUCAGGACUUUUGCAAUCUCUAGAAAUACCCGAGUGGAAAUGGGAGAAUAUCACUAUGAAUUUUGUAUUGGGAUUACCAAGAACACAGAGAGGCCAUGAUGCGAUUUGGGUAAUAGUGGAUAGAUUGACCAAGUCGGCCCAUUUUCUGCCGAUUAACAUGAAGUACCCGUUGGAGAAGUUGGCUAGGUUGUAUUUGGAUGAGAUCAUUAGAUUGCAUGGCAUACCUGUGAGUAUCGUGUCCGACAGGGAUCCGAGAUUUGUUUCGAGGUUCUGGCAAAAGAUGCAAGAGGUAUUGGGGACUAAGUUGAACUUUAGUACCACUUAUCAUCUCCAGACUGACGGACAGUCGGAAAGGACAAUUCAAACACUUGAGGACAUGUUAAGGACUUGUGUUCUGGACUUUGGAGAAAAUUGGAGUAAGUUUUUGACUUUAGUGGAAUUUGCCUACAACAAUAGUUUCCACUCUUCUAUUCAGAUGGCCCCGUAUGAGGCACUUUAUGGUCGGAAAUGUAGGUCUCCAAUUUGUUGGGACGAAAUAGGUGAACGGAAAAUCUUAGACCCGACCACAGUGCCUUGGAUUGAGGAAGCUAAUGAGAAGGUAAAGUUGGUACGACAAAGAAUUCAGACCGCUCAGAGCCGUCAAAAGAGUUAUGCUGAUAAUCGGAGAAAAGAUUUGGAGUUUACUGUUGGAGAUUUGGUAUUUCUCAGAAUCACGCCCUUGAAAGCAAGGUUGAUGUCUGGAAAAGGAAAGAAGUUACAGCCAAGGUUUGUAGGACCUUACAAGAUUAUCCAACGUGUGGAGAGUGUAGCUUAUAAAUUGGAGUUACCGCCGAGUUUAUUUCGAAUUCAUAAUGUGUUCCAUGUAUCUAUGCUUAAAAGGUACCACCCAGACCCAUCACAUGUCUUACAACCAGAGAGUAUUGAGAUUGAUGAGACCUUAACUUAUGAGGAGAAGCCGGUUAAGCUUCUAGAUAGGAAGGUGAAGGAAUUGAAAAAUAAAUAGAUACCAUUAGUAAAAGUUCUUUGGAAUAACCAUGGGUUGGAGGAAGCAACUUGGGAGGUCGAAGAAGCAAUUCGAGAAAAGUAUCCAGGCCAGUUCACCAAUCAAGGUAAAUUUCGAGGACGAAAUUUCUUAAGGGGGAGAGGAUGUGAGGACUCGAAAAUUCUAUUAUUUAAAAAUCCCUAAUUUUUGGCUAAAUUAAUUUUUUAUUUGGAUUUUGCCACAAAUAAUAUUUUCUAGCCUUAUUAGACCUAAGUACAUGGUUUUAUAGUUUCGUUAUAUUUUUAAAGUAUCUCAUUUCAAAAAUUAUUUUCUUAAAAGCUUGAUUAGUGAGAAGUGAAAGCGUGUCUGAAAACUUUAGUCAAUUGGGAGUACAAUAAGCUUAAAAAUUUGAGACAUAUACAAUGGUCCUAAAAUAGGCAAUUUUAGGUUUAAAAACUCAAGUGAUAAUUAGUAGUACGAUCGUUAUAAAAAUUUCUCGAAAAUUUCAUUUUAUCGCGCCUAAAUUGGGAAUACGUGUUUUCACGUGCGCGCUUAAUUGAGGGACCUUGGACCAUUAUUUUGGGACAAUUAAGAAUGAAUAAUAUUUAUAUGAAUAUAGGUGCCCUAGAGGUUUAGUGCACUAGUGCAACAAACUUAAGAGAAAUCGAACACAAAACGCGCGCGUAGGCGCACUAGUUGCAGUUGAUUUUUACGUACUUAAAAUAUUAGACGGUCAGCGUUCCUUGUACGCAAUAGAAUCAGCAAAACAUAUCAUUUCUUCAAGCUCCAUGGACGGCUAGCAGUCAAAAAGGGAGCAACCAAAAACUUUCAACAUUUCCUCUACAAAAACUCACUCAAAUCACCACCAAACCUUCAUAGAUUCACACCAAACUUCACAUACACUUCGCUCUUCACUUGGACAACAUUUUGAGCUUCAAAAGGGAGGAGCUUUUACGGUUUCUUGGAGCCUUUUGAGGACCGAAAUUCUCUGAUCUAAAGCACUAAGGAGGUAUAACAUCAUCCAACACCUUAAGCUUGCUUUAUGGUAGUAGAAGUGCAUCUCUAAGCAAUUGCAUGUAUUUGGAUGACUUGAUAUUGUUGGAAAUUUGAAAAGUGGGCUCUAUGAAUUCCCACUCUUGGGUUGUUGCUGAUAAGAGGUUUAAUGUUGGAUUUAAUGGUAGUUUAGUGGUUAAAAUGAUAGAUUUAUGGAGUAUUAUUGUUGGAAACUCAAAGUGGAGGUCAUGACAAAAUUUUCCGAAACUGCCCCUGCUUUGUUCGGCCAUGAUAAGGCCAAUUUUUGAUGAUCUAAUGGCUUGAACCUGAUGCUUAUAUGUUGUAUUAGAUGUGUAAAAAUUUUCAUUGGAAAACAUUAACGUUUGGAUGGGCAAAUGAAUUUAUUUGUGGACUAGUCAAGAUGGAAAACUGUUUUCGGAUAACCCUGUCCAGCGGUAGCAUUUUAACCAUAACUUUGUCCUCCGAUGUCAAAAUUGGGUGCCGUCGGUGGCAUUUGAAACUAGACAUCCAUAGCUUUCCAACGGUGUAAAAUAUGUAUUCUUAUUCCAUAUGUAGGAGCCGGACCAUUCAUUUUAAUAUAGCUGUCCUGUUUCUCUGUUCUGCUGGAAUAAUUUGUGGAGGCAGCAACUUGAGGCUCAAUUUCGAGCCGGUUUUUUGCCAAAUUUCAUAAUGUUUCCUUCUGUGAAUUUUUAUUCCUAUGAAUUUAUUUUCCAACGCCGUAAACUAUGCUCAAUUCCGAGUUAGGUCGACUGAAUUGUGAUCAAAACAAGAACACUGCUCUGUUUUGGAAAAAAACCCAGUUUUGGACAGAUUUGAGAUGAGACUUGUUGUGGUCUUACAAAAUGAAAUUCUUGGUGUUAAACACCUACCAAAUGUACCAUGAAUGAUCCUUAGACUUUCCUUUCGCAUAUGAACCAUGAUUGGAGGAUUUUCUUAGCCAAACGAUUGGAUUUGGAAAGAAAAGGAUUACAGGCAGAUUGCCUUAAGAAUUUUUCUGAACUUUAGUUGGUUCGUUGACUACCUUCCCGAAGGUAAUUUUCUGUGAAACUUGAUAGAGAGAUACCCCUCAUAUAAGAGUAAAAUACUGCCAAUUUUGGUACCAAUCCAAGUUCGUUUCGAUACCUAACUAAACUUCUGGUGUUGGAAGUUCAAAUUUGGAAAUUCUUCUCCAGUCUUGAAAUUUCUCCAACUUCGAGCUACCGUAUUUCGGUACUCGAAACUCCGAUUCUUGAUCCGCUUGCUCUGCUAUAAACCUCACUUGCAACUCUAUUUGAGUUACAAAUUUCAGGGGCCGAUUCGUAACGAGUGAAUCGUGCCGAAUUUUCAAAGUUGGCCAAAAUCCAACUUAAUUCUACCUUGUGAACCGAGUCAGUAUCUUCAAGCUCAUUUUUGAGCACUUUCCACUUCGAUUCAUGGAAAAGUGUCUUCUAGGAACUUGUAGUACUUUCUAAUAGGUUUCCAACGGUAUAAAGUUUUCCAAUUCUUGACUUAUGCCGAGUGAGUUACGAUUUUUCCAAAAUUCAUAAUAAAACUGAAAUUUUCCAACUUUCAAGGAAAUACAGUUUUUCAAGAACUCUUUAUUCUUUUGAAAUUAUCUAAAUGUUUUAUCCCCGAUUUCCUAGAUAAAGACUUAAAUACUUUUGAAUGUUAUCAAACACCUCUCGAACCUCGAUUUACGAGUAAUUGAGGUUCAUUUUCACGGAAUUCCCUAGAUUAAUACUAGUGAACGAAUUAUUCCUCGAUAUUUGGGAUAUGGAUGAUAAUUCACUAUUAUUUGCUCAGGCGCACACGAGGACCUUCAAGAGGAUCCCACGGUGGACGCUUGAACUUUCCUUGACCUUACUUACACCUAAUACUUGGUGAGUGUCAGGUGUAUGUAAACUUGUUACAUGUUUAAUUGCUAUUAAUGAUUGGAAAUCUUUAAAUUGGAGUCGAGUGUGUACUUUACCACACUCGUUCUCAUUAGAAAUGAAAUAGUAAUGAUUGAAAUGUAUUGAACGAAUGAUUGAAAUGCAUUGAAUGAAUGAUUGAAAUGUAUUGAAUGAAUGAAUGAAAUGUAAUGGUAUGCUAUAGCUGCAAAUGUCGUUGGAGUGAAUCUCUUCGACACACAAGUGCACAUGGGGACGUCCAAAUCUCAUUGGCCGACCUUGGACUCGAGCCAGCAUGGGCUUGGUCGGGAACCUUGGCGAGCCAUGAGAUAUAUAAGCUCGACCUAGUGAGAGGUCUUGCUUGGCAAACUCGAGUAGUAUCGCCACAAACAAAUGACAGGCGGGCCCGAUACAGGGGUAUGUAAGGUGAAAGGGGACAGGUUAAGUGGAGUUGAUGCGGAUACGGGCGUGCAACAACUCCAACCUUGGGUCAAGGACCCUUUGAUCAACAUUGGUGGUCCGAUGACAAGAUCAAGAACCAAGAAGGUGAUACAAGUAAGGAGCAAGCUAGGUUUGAAGAUUUGAUGGACCAUGAAGUUACUUUGUUCACUUGUGCAUUUGAAGUAAAGGAGUGAUCUCAUACUUGUUAGUUUAGUUGGUAGUUGUUUUAAGACUGUCUAGUUUUUAAGUUGUUAGGUGUUGAGUAUUUUAUUACUUAUCGGGCCUUAUCGGAAAGCCUUAAAGAGCUAGCUCUUUAAGCUCUUUUAUGCGGACCGAAUCUCUUCCAGAUUUAUGUGGGCCGGAUUUUGCCCUAGUUUUAGCUUAUAAAAAGGCACCUCUUGUAAGAGUAAAAGACAGAUUAUUACAACCAGAAAUCGUGAGGAAUUUUCCUUCAAGUUCUUAAUCGAACUUACUCUUGAAUUCUUGAGUUCAUAGCUUAGGAUUCAAAUUAGACUUUAUCGAUUAGCUUGUUCCCUAAUCGUGGUGUCGCUUCAUCCAUCCUUAUUUGCUUAAGGUUGCUGAUUACCUUUGUGUGUCAGAGGUCUUGAGUUCAUGAGAACAAUCGAGUUCAAUUUCUAUUGGGAGAAAAGAUCAAACUCUGAUAAUUACAAGGUUGGGAGGUUCUAGGAAGGUCUUCCCCUAGGGUUGCCUAUAUCAGUUGGUAAUCAGAGCAUCAGGUUAAUUCUCUUUUAAUUGAAGUUGUUCAUAUCAUGCUAGUUUGUCUUUUUUCCAAAAAAAAAAAAAAACUGUAGCGAUUACUGUUCAUCGUUACUGUUCCGAAUACUGUUCAUCGUACUGUAGCGUACUGUUCACGUUACUGUUCAUCCGAGUCAAAAAAAAAUUUGUUUGGGUGUUGUCUUUUUGUGUUUUUUCUGUCCAAGUUCUUGGGUUUGUUAUACUUGUGUUUGGGUUGUUAGGGUUUAAAGAAAAAAAAAAAAGAGUCACGUACCAUAUAUUGUUUUAGUGUCCAAGUUGCUAGAGUAUUGCUGGAAUUUUCUUUUGAGUAUUGCUGAAAUUCUGUUUUGCCUAUUUCUUGAGUAUUGGUUGUUGUUCUUGCAAACCCUAAACACCACAACGUAAUUUGGGAAAAUUCUUGUGUUUCUUGAACAAAUUCUUGAAGUUCUUGGACCACCAAGUCUUGUUUUGAAAAUUCUUGAACAAUAAACCAAGAACUAGGGUUUUCUUGGAAUUGGCAUAACCUUUCAUCCGUUUCUUGAACUUGUUGGUGUGAUCUGAAUUUGUGUUCCUUGAAGAUCCGAAAAAAAAAGAGAAAGAAAAAAAAAGGAAGAAGAGAAGGAAUUGGCUCUCAUACAAAGGAAAUCAAGUUUCCAAAAAAAUAAAAAAAUAAAAAUCGCGAGUUUCCAAUUCUUGGUGGGUUCCCAAAUCUUGGUUAAUCUCCAAAUCUUGGUUGAUUUCCCAAAACUUGGGUUUCCUAAUUUUGAUUGGUUUCCAACUCUUGAGUUCCAAUCUUAAUUGAAUUUCAACGACUCCAAACUACCUAACCAGACCCCAAGCACCCCAAAAUCAGUUUCCAAAACCAAACCUAAACCGCCACAAACACCUUAGCCACACCGCCUUUAAAUUCUUGGGUUUCUAAAAUCGGUUGAGCUAGUCUUUGCGAGCCGAUUUCCCUGAAAUUGGAGGACUGGUUCUUGCAUUAUUUGAACAUCCCAAAAGCACCACUUACCCUCCAAAAUACUGACCAGAAACUCAGCAAAACAGCAGCUCAAAAAAAAAAAAAAAAGUUCCAGCUUCGGUUAGAGUUUUUCUAGGAUUUACAAAAUUCUGCUUUGUGUCUUAUUACUUGCUUAUAGGGUAAUUAAUUCUGGAAUUUUUGAGAGUUUGAGUUGUUUUAAGAACUUCGAGAAGGAAAAUUGAGAGUGAGUGUGUUUUCUUGAGUGAUACAUGAGUGCUUUGCAAGGUAGACUAGGAUACACUUGUUUUGCAGGUUGGACAAUAUGUCUCAAGAGGGGAACAUGCCUGAGCCGUCUGAGACCGACGUGUCACUCAAACUGGUGCUCCAAACUCUUCAAAAACAAGCGGAGAGACAUGAAUUUACGAUGCCACAAAUAUCAGACAGGUUGGCUGCCAUUGAGAUGCGAGGUACUGGAGAUAUUCCCAAUAGGGCUUCAAGUGCUCAGAGUGUUGAGCAUGAUGCGGAUGAUGAGGGGUAUCAUUCUAACACCUCAUUCCGAUCAAGGAAAAGCCACAGGGAAGCGAGGGAAGGCCGAGACCGACCUAGGAGAACCGAUGACAAUCUUGGUUCCAUCAAGACUAAGAUGCCUACCUUUCAUGGGAAAAAUGAUCCUGAAGCUUAUUUAGAUUGGGUUAGGAGAGUUGAGCAAGUGUUUGAAGUCCACAAUUACUCUGAAGAGAAAAAGGUGAAACUUGCAGCUAUUGAAUUUGAAGAUUAUGCAUCCAUUUGGUGGGAGCAAGUAUGUGCCACGAGGAGAAAUAGGGAACAACCAAUUGACACUUGGGCUGAAAUGAAGCAAGUGAUGAGGAAACGAUUUGUACCCUUCCAUUAUACCACGGACUUGUACAAUCGGCUCCAACGACUCACCCAAGGGUCCAGUUCGGUUGAUGAGUACCACAAACAAAUGGAGGUAGCAAUGAUAAGGGCCAAUAUACAAGAGGAUUCGGAAGCAACCAUGGCAAGAUUUCUUAAUGGAUUAAAUCCUGAAAUUCGGAAGAAGGUUGAGCUUCAAGACCAUUUUGAGCUACAACAAAUGGUGUCUUAUGCAGAGAAGGUGGAAAGGCAAGCCUUACCUAUAAAGACACCUAGUGGCCGAACCACUACAUCCUCUUCCACACCUUGGAGACGAGAUCAAUUGCCAACAUCCAAUGCUUGGCCAAGGCAAGGCAAUAAAGAAAGGGAAAACAGGCGAAUGGAGCAACCGUUCCAUCCGAGUGCAACUCCUUCUAAACCAACCCCGCGACCAACUCUUCCAAGGCCAAAUACGUCUACCAACCAGCCAAAGGCAUGUUUCAAAUGUAAGGGAAUUGGCCACCUCAUGGCUCAAUGCCCUAACCGAAGCAUCAUGUACAUGAAUGAAGAGGGAAUGUGGCAAAGCGAAGGAGAGGAGGAAUAUGCGGACAUGCCACCACUUGAAGAAGAGGGGAAGGAUGCUGACCUGGUUGAAAUAGAAGAGGACCCCGUGGCUCGAACUAUGGUGACUAUGAGAGUGCUAAAUGCACAAGCUCAAGAAGAUGAUCUCCAACGGUCCAACAUUUUUCAUACGAGAUGCAAAAUUGGAGAUGAGGUAUGUCUCAUGAUCAUUGAUAGUGGCUCUUGUACUAAUUGCGUAGCUGCUGACUUUGUCGAGCAAAAGCACCUUUCAUGGACUUACCACCCUAAACCCUAUAGACUAUCUUGGUUAAAUGAUGGGGGGGAAGUCAAGGUGACCAAACAAGCUUUAAUCGCUUUUUCUAUUGGUCGAUACAAGGACCAAGUUUUAUGUGAUGUAAUUCCUAUGCAAGCUAGUCAUGUCUUGUUAGGGCGUCCGUGGGAGUAUGAUCGGCAGGCUGAUCAUAUUGGACUCACUAAUAAGUAUAAGUUCAUUAUGGACAACCUCAAGAUCACUCUUUCACCCUUGACACCUACACAAGUGUAUGAGGAACAAUUGCAUCUAAGAAAAGAGCGAGAGAAAAGGCAACUGAGAGAGGCAAAGAAAAAGCCGAAUGUGCCUGAGGAUGAGGAAAAAAAGAAAGUAGAGGCCGAGUUGAGUGAAAAAGAAAAUUCGAGUGGAAAAAAACUUAGUGAGGCCGAGAGCUUGAAAGUGAACAAAAAGAGCUUCUAUGCAAGUGUGCGUGAGGUAGGUAGGGCUUUGAAUGCACAAAGUCUUCUCAUAGUACUUCUGUACAGGGAAGCUGAUUAUUCUUCUUUUUACACACUAGGCAUAACCGAUUCUCUUCCUAGUGCAAUCUACUCUCUUUUGCAGGAAUUCAAGGAUGUGUUUCCGGAGGAACUACCAAAAGGAUUACCUCCAAUUCGAGGUAUCGAACAUCAAAUCGACUUUGUUCCUGGAGCAAUUCUCCCAAAUCGACCAGCCUAUAGAGCAAAUCCGGAGGAAACAAAGGAAAUCCAAAGGCAAGUCGAUUCCCUCCUUGAAAAGGACCAGGUACGUGAAUCUCUUAGUCCUUGUGCAGUUCCAGUCAUUUUAGUGCCUAAGAAAGAAGGGACUUGGAGAAUGUGUACAGAUUGUCGUGCAAUUAAUAAAAUUACUGUUAAGUAUCGUCAUCCUAUUCCUAGGUUAGAUGAUAUGUUAGAAGAAUUGCAUGGGGCAAUCAUUUUCACUAAAAUUGACUUAAGAUCUGGUUAUCAUCAAAUAAGGAUAAAGGAAGGAGACGAAUGGAAAACUGCUUUCAAAACAAAGUAUGGUCUUUAUGAGUGGCUUGUGAUGCCUUUCGGCUUAACAAACGCUCCAAGUACUUUCAUGAGGUUAAUGAACCAUGUUUUAAGGCAUUUUCUUGGGAAGUUUGUUGUUGUUUAUUUUGAUGAUAUAUUGAUCUUUAGCAAGUCUUUAGAUGAACAUGUUGAGCAUUUGCGACUUGUUUUAAGUGCCUUGCGUGAAAAUAGGUUGUUUGCUAACAUGGAAAAAUGUGUCUUCUGCACUCCUGAAGUUAAUUUCCUUGGAUAUAUUGUUGGUGCAAAUGGCAUACGUGUUGAUCCCGCCAAGGUAAAAGCCAUCUUAGAGUGGCCGACUCCAACCAAUGUGUCUCAAGUAAGGUCUUUUCAUGGUCUUGCAAGUUUCUAUAGGAGAUUUGUUAAAGACUUUAGUACUAUUGCAGCACCUUUGAAUGAGACAAUUAAAAAGAAUGUGGGGUUUCAAUGGGGAAAAGAGCAAGAAGAGUCAUUUAAUAAGCUUAAGGAUUUGUUAACUUCAGCACCUAUUCUUGCUUUGCCUAAUUUUGAUGUGACGUUUGAAGUUGAAUGUGAUGCUAGUGGAUCGGCAUAGGGGCUGUCUUACAUCAAAAUAAUAGACCCUUGGAAUAUUUCAGUGAAAAGUUGAGUGGGGGAGCUCUUAAUUACCCUACUUAUGAUAAAGAAUUGUAUGCUGUUGUGCGUGCUCUUGAAGUGUGGCAGCAUUAUCUUAUGCCUAAGGAAUUUGUGAUACAUACUGAUCAUGAAUCAAUUAAAUUCCUUAAGGGUCAGGGAAAGUUGCAUAAAAGACAUGCGAAGUGGAUUGCAUUUGUUGAUUCCUUUCCGUACAUCAUUAAGUAUAAGAAGGGGAAAGAUAAUGUCGUUGCGGAUGCAUUGUCUAGGAGGUAUACUUUGAUCACUAACAUGAGCACUAAGCUACUUGGUUUUGAGCACAUUAAAAACAUGUAUGCACAUGAUGACGAUUUUUCUAAUGUGUUUCAAGCUUGUGAACAUGCUGCAUUUCAAAAGUACUAUAGGCAUGAAGGUUUCUUGUUCAAAGAAAAUCGCCUAUGUAUUCCCAAUUGUUCGCUUAGGGAAUUACUUGUUAGAGAAGCCCAUGGUGGAGGAUUGAUGGGACAUUUCGGCAUUGAUAAAACUCUUGACAUCUUGCAUGAACACUUCUAUUGGCCUAAAAUGAGGCGUGAUGUUGCUAACAUUUGUGAUAAGUGUUUAAAGUGUAAGCAGGCCAAGUCAAGGAGUAACCCUCAUGGACUAUACACUCCUCUACCCGUACCUCAUGCUCCUUGGACAGACUUAUCCAUGGAUUUUGUACUUGGUUUACCAAGAUCUUCUAGAGGUAUGGAUAGUAUCUUUGUUGUAGUGGAUAGAUUUUCUAAAAUGGCUCAUUUUAUCCCUUGUAGGAAAACAAAUGAUGUGCGCCACGUUGCUGAUUUAUUCUUCAAGGAUGUGGUUAGAUUGCAUGGAGUACCGCGUACUAUUGUAAGUGAUAGGGAUGUGAAAUUCUUAAGCUACUUCUGGAAAUCACUUUGGGGAAAGUUGGGAACGAAGUUGCUAUUUUCUACUUCUAGUCAUCCUCAAACGGAUAGUCAAACUGAGGUAACCAAUCGAACCCUUGGUGCUUUACUUCGAGCCAUUGUUCAAAAGAACUUGAAGAAGUGGGAAGAAUGUUUGCCUAUCGCUGAGUUUGCAUAUAACCGAACCACUCAUUCUACUACUAAUCAUUCUCCUUUUGAAAUUGUUUAUGGGUUUCAGCCGCUAACCCCUCUAGAUUUAUCACCUAUUCCUGUUGAUGAGUGUUUAAGCGCAGAUGGUGUCAAAAAGGCAGAUGCUGUUCGGACCUUGCAUGAGAGAAUUCGAGCUCAAAUUGAAAAGAAAAAUGAGCAAUAUGCACAACAUGCGAAUAAGGGAAGAAAGCAUGUUGUAUUCGAACCUGGUGAUUGGGUUUGGGUGCACAUGAGGAAGGAAAGGUUUCCAGCAUCUCGACGGACCAAGUUACAUCCAAGAGGCGACGGACCUUUUCAAGUCCUAGAGAGGAUCAACGACAAUGCAUACAAAUUGGGACUUCCAAGUGAGUAUGGCAUAAGCGCAUCUUUUAAUGUGUCUGACCUAUCCCCUUUUGACUUUGAUACAGACUUUGAAGAUUCGAGAACGAAUCCUUUUGAGAAGGGAGGGAAUGAUGCGGAUACGGGCGUGCAACAACUCCAACCUUGGGUCAAGGACCCUUUGAUCAACAUUGGUGGUCCGAUGACAAGAUCAAGAACCAAGAAGGUGAAGGAAGCUUUACGAGCCUUGAUCAUUCACCAUACAAGCAAGGAGCAAGCUAGGUUUGAAGAUUUGAUGGACCAUGAAGUUACUUUGUUCACUUGUACAUUUGAAGUAAAGGAGUGAUCUCAUACUUGUUAGCUUAGUUGGUAGUUGUUUUAAGACUGUCUAGUUUAGUAGUUGUUAGGUGUUGAGUAUUUUAUUACUUAUCGGGCCUUAUCGGAAAGGCUUAAAGAGCUAGCUCUUUAAGCUCUUUUAUGUGGACCGAAUCUCUUCCAGGUUUAUGUGGGCCGGAUUUUGCCCUAGUUUUAGCCUAUAAAAAGGCACCUCUUGUAAGAGUAAAAGACAGAUUAUUACAACCAGAAAUCGUGAGGAAUUUUCCUUCAAGUUCUUAAUCGAACUUACUCUUGAAUUCUUGAGUUCAUAGCUUAGGAUUCAAAUUAGACUUUAUCGAUUAGCUUGUUCCCUAAUCGUGGUGUCGCUUCAUCCAUCCUUAUUUGCUUAAGGUUGCUGAUUACCUUUGUGUGUCAGAGGUCUUGAGUUCAUGAGAACAAUCGAGUUCAAUUUCUAUUGGGAGAAAAGAUCCAACUCUGAUAAUUACAAGGUUGGGAGGUUCUAGGAGGGUCUUCCCCUAGGGUUGCCUAUAUCAGGAGUUCUACGGACUAAACCUACCCGAUUGACGGAGUGUCAAUUCGUGGAGGUUAUUGAAUGUGCAAGUGGAAUAUAGCUCCUGAGGGCUCCAGUAUCCUUGAAUUGUUUCUGGUCAUAUUUCCAGUAAAUUGUUAAUUACUAAAAUAUGAUUGCUUGACUUGUAAAUUGAGAUUGUUAUUUGAGCAAUGUGCUUGUAUGUGUGUUCUUGGCCUCACAAGCGUUUUGCUCACCCCGUAGAUUUGUUUCCUUAAAUGGACUGGAUCCGGGGAUGUAUUGGAGAAACCCUCCUGAUGUACUUUUGUUUAGGGUUUCUAUCUUCAUUUUGACUACGUCUCUUGGUUUUGGGUUGUACUUUUGUAAUUGGAGUGUAGUACUUGGGCAUGAGGUAAAUUUGGGUUUAAAGUUGUAUUUUGAACACCCGAUGUACGGGUUGGAUAAUGGUUGACCAUGGUUAGCUUGAACGCUCCCGCGUCAUUGUAUUUAUGUUGUUGUACUUAUGACUUUUAGAGUAGUAAUAAGUUUGAAUGUUUUGCGUGAGUCCUGGCGAGAGUUGGGCAGGCGUCCCGCAGAUACCCUUUGGUUCGCCUUAGGGAGAAGUGGGGGCGUCACAAAAAUGACUCAAAUGGAAGAUAAGAAGGUGAGACUUUGUCUUAGCUAAGGAACCAUAGGUGGUUGACACCAAAGCCUUCCAAGUUUUUGCUAUCUUUUCCUUGUAUUUUGGCCACAAAUUUCGGUCACAUGGCUGAAGAUGAGGGGGGGGAUAUUUUGCAAAAAAUAUCAAGGGUAUGUGGUGGUAAGGAAGUAGUGGUCAAGUGAUGGGUUCAAUCGGUAGUGAUCGAUACUCGUCGGUUUGAGCCGUUUUUUCUUAAAUCGCGUAUACUAGGGUUUUUAAAUUCUAAUCACUAACUUAUUAUUAUCACUUCUAAUCAUAUAAUAUUUCUUCAUCCAAAAGUCACUCUUACCUACCAAUUUUGAUUCUCACUCCGUACCGAAUAAUCAUACUACGAAAAAACGUGAAAACCCUAAUUCGUGCUAACUUAAAAUUGAAACGUGAAACCCUACUUCCUAGGUUCAUUUGCACUUAUUGUGGGGUGAUUGAGUAGUAAGGCUAUUAUAAAUUAAUAAUUUCCAGAUAAAAGGGUAUUUUUUUAAGAAAAACGUGAGGGUUUUACAAUUCCAUAAAUUGAAGUUAGGGUUUCGGUUGAAAUAUGAGAAAUUUGAGAAAACGGUCAGUCACAAGUGAAACUAGGGUUUUGAUUAGACUUUUAGGGUUUCUAGUCUUUUAAAACAAAACAAGGUUUUAAAUCAAACCCAAAGAAAUAAUUUUAGUUUCUUCUUUAAAACAAAAUAAUUUUUUUUAAAUAAAAAUAAACUAAAGAAACCGUAAUAUCCUCUUUGAGACUAAACAAAAGAUGAUCCCAAAAGUUGGGGUAUCACAAGUACAACUUUCUUUGAUAAGUAGUCAUUCUAAGUGAUAGUGUAUAAUAAUUGAUGGUUAUUUGCUCAGGCGCUCAAUGAGACCUUCAAGAGGAACUCGAAGUGGACGCCUAAACACUUGUUUGAGUACUUACUCACUUGUUUUGAAUAAGUGAGUGUUCCAUAUAGGAGUACGUAAUUUGAAUAAAUCUAUGACAUGCUUAUUCCAUGAUCAUUAAGUGUCAAAUACUACAUGUCAAGUAUUUACCACACUCAUGCAUAUUUAAGUAAGGUAUACUUGAAUUACUCGACAUGAAAUACUUGAAUUGCAUAUUUAUGUGAAGUGUUUAAAUGAUUAAUUAUGCUAUGGCUGCAUAAGUCGGAUGGAGUGAAUCUCCUCGACUCUUAAGUGGUAAAAGUGAGAAAUGGCCAAUGGCGGCCUAUUAAAAUGGCAAAUAUCUGCCAAUUAACCGUAAUUACUUACCGUUAACGGUAAUUACAUACCGUUUACAACCUACUUGAUUACCUACCUACGUGAUUACCUGCUUACUUGAUUACCUGACUACUUGAUUACUUGAUUACCGUAAAUUAUUUGUUCAUAUGAAAUUACCGCAUAUUGCUUACGAGUUUAUGUGUUAAAUGUUACUAAUAAUUGCUCAUAGGAAAUUAUCCACCAUGUUAAGGCGAGUGUGUACUUUAUCUCACUCGACCUACUAAGAUGAUAAAUUUUUAUCGUUCACCGAUUUAUUUGAUUACUUGUGCAUGUUGUAAGCUCUAAGCUGAACUGGAUUCUGCCCUUGGUUACUAACCUACUCGAGCCAGGACUAGGCUCGGUCGGGUUGGUUGGAACCCUAAGCCACCGUUUCGGUAUACUCGAAUACUACCACUGGAGGAGUAAGGUGAUGGCUAGACAAACCGAGGGGAUCCGGAAGUUAUAAGGUGCAGAUGACCGGCAUGGUUCCACUAGAACACCGUAUCCUUCAAUGUGUGUUUAUUUUGCAUAGAGAUAACUAUUUCAUGCAAAUGUACCAACGUGCAAAUCUUGUGUUAUACUUGUGACACGCUCAAAUUACUCGUACCAUGAUAAUUGUCUCAUGUUAGUGUGUCAUACCUGUGACACGCUCAAAUUACUCGUACCGUGAUAAUUAUCUCAUGUUAAUGUGUCAUACCUGUGACACGCUCAAAUUACUCGUACCAUAAUAAUUGUCUCAUGUUAAUGUGUCAUACCUGUGAAAUGCUCAAAUUACUCAUACCAUGAUAAUUGUCUCAUGUUAAUGUGUCAUACCUGUGACACGCUCAGAUUACUCGUACCAUGAUAAUUGUCUCAUGUUAAUGUAUCAUACAUGUGACAUGUUCAAAUUACUAGUACCAUGAUAAUUAUUUCAUGUUAAUGGUCAUGAUAAUUGUCUCAUGUUAAUGUGUCAUACCUGUGAUAUGCUCAAAGUACUCGUAUAAUGAUAAUUGUCUCACGUUCAUGAGCCAACGUGCAACCCCAAACCAUACAUGUGGUAUGCUCAAUUACUUGAUUUAUUAGAACUGCUAGAGUGUCUUGGAACCUCAUUGGGCUGUGUAGCUCAUCCCACAUUUUUGUUUUCUUUAACAGGGUUCGAGACCAAGAGUGCUCGUGAAUAGUACUAGAUAGUUUUCUUUUGAAAAUUUAAAGUUUUAUUAUAGUGGAUGGUUAUAGUACAUAUUCCUUUGGGUUGUAUUUAAGUUUGAAAGCUAAAUAAUUGUAAGUGUGAAAUAUUUUGGGGUACUUUAAUUAUGUAUUGAAGUUAUUUGAAGUAUUCCAAGUUUUUGAAUUGUGGAUUGUACCGAGUCCUGGCGAGAGUUGGGCAGGCGUCCCGGCGAUACCCUUGGAUUCGCCCUUGGGAGAAAUGGGGGCGUCACAGUUGGUAUCAGAGGUUAGGCUUCAAAUCUUUGUAGUGUAUCCUAGACUUAAAAGUUUAGGAUGCCGGACUGUGGGAUUGGUUUGAAAGUUAAGUGACCGCUUGUAAGGAUGAAAAUCAGAGCCGCUUCGCGUAGUUUGUGCGCGGGGUGAGCUUGGACCAAGUGGUGUUAUGGUCCUUAUUAUGUGAAUGAGUAAAGGCUUAAGAACUCUUCUAGAGUAUAAGCUGUGAAUCAUGAAUGUGAUAGGUAUAAACCCCUUUGUUUUGAUAUUUGAGAAAAACAUUUGGUAUGUAUGAUGGGUAGGAAUCUCAAAUGUGAUGAUUUACUCUUGGGAACUGGCCAGCUCGAGAUGUGAAUUAUCUUAUUUCAGAUUCUUGUACCCGAGUACUCAAGCGUUGAGGACAAUGCUAAGGACUUGAGAUCUCCAUUUGCGGGGAAUGAAAAUGAAUCGAUAUUUCACAUGAAUAAUUACAAGAAACCGAUAAUCGUUUGGCUAAGAUGGCACAAUAAUUAAGAGCGAGAGGUGAAGAAGAUCGUGGCCUAGAAGAUCCUUGUGUUGGGGUUAAAGUUGAACAUGUUAGGAAAUGGGGAUCAUUUAGUUCCAAUUAAUCUAGUGAAGCACUACUUGUGAUCUUUCGUAGUGGGACGAUGGGAGUAGAACUUAAGAGUUUGUGCCUUAGAGAUGGAUGCACUUUUGAUAAUCACUUGUUCAUUUUUGUUUAUUGAUUUUGACUUGGUAUGUACUUUACUUGGCUUGUUUGUGACCUCUUGAUUCGUAUUAUGACUUUUGAUAUAUGUAAAGAAUCAUGCUUCUAAUUCUAAAUGUAUUUGUAACUUGUAUAUGCUUUAAGUUCUUCUAUGCCUAAUUAUUCUUUUUCUUACGCCUAUAGACUUAUAUUAAGUAUGGCUCGGCAAGGUCAAUGAAUGGGUUGUGGUGUGGGUUUAGGCAACCCGCACUCUUGAGAAAGACUGAUAGCCGGUCUUAUGUAAUCCAAUGGGAUCUUAGUGAUAGAUAUGAAUCGGAAAUGAACGAGAAGAUAAGACCUAUCAGUGAUAUAAAAGAUUGAUCUAGUUGGGUACCUAAAGAGGUUCUCCCCUGUGCAAUUUUAAUGAUUGUUCUACCGUAUCUUGUGGUUGGUCCUGUGGACAUGUUUCAACCUUUUAUGAAUGUUUGAACUUUCGAAGUAUUUCAUUGGUUAUUUGUGAAGUGACUUGAACUCAUUACUUAUUCUGCUGUACUUAAAAAAAAACACUUUCUCUCUUAAAAACAUUUUCUAGAAUAUAUAUUUAUUCAAACGCAAUUCUUAACUCGAAACUUUGAUGAAAUUUUUGAAACAUCCUUCAAUUAUAUGUUAUUUCAUUGUAUACGCUCUUUGAUACCCAUGCAUUGAGUCGCAUGAUUAAUCUUCUUAAAUGUAUUUGAGGAAUUUGAAAUAUGUAUUAAUGACGGUGGCAAAAACAUUACCUGAAGUUUCUUACUAAGAAAACUUAGUUUCGGACCAUGAAGAAAGGUUUGUAUCUUUUAACUCUAAUUUUGAAAUUGUGAAUCGUAGUUUGCCACAUACAUAUCCGAAAUACAUAAAAAAAAAACCCCUCAUUUUUGUCUCGCAUAUUAUGAUUGACUUGAUUUGAACAAAAAUUUGAGUGAUCAUUUGGGACCAAAGAAAUCUGGUUAUUUCUAAAAUUGUUAAUUUUAGAGAUCGAAUGCCAGUAAAUGAUUUUUGGACAAAUUGAGUCGAAGAUUUUGGUAAAAUUAGUUUUCUAUUGAAAAUAUAUUUUCCUAUUCGAGUUUCGAACCACCAGAUGGAAUCAUUUAACUAGACCUUUAAUUGACCCUAGAAUUGACUGUUUUGUGAAAACCCUAUUUUCGUGAGUGGUACAAGUAAACUGUGAUUGCUGCCCUAUAGUUUGGAGAGUAGGAGUCCUAUGAACAAAUCAGUGCUUAAUUGUUGUGCAAAUUAUAGAAGCUGUGAAUUUUGGUAGAUCUAGUAGACCUGACAAAUAAGGGGUACGAUAUUAUCGUAAGUGUGAAUUACGAGGACGAAAUUCUUUUAAGGAGGGGAGGUUGUGAGGACCCGAAAUUUUCUUGUUUUAUUUUAUUUUACUGGUUUAAUUAAUUAUUUACUCACACGUUUUCUCCGAAUAUUUUAUUUCAACCUUUUAUUGCUCAAAUACAUGGAAUUAUGGAUCACAUGUAUUUUAAAAAUGACUUGAUUCCAAAAGUUAUUUUUUUGAAAACUCGUUAAAUGAGAAUAGUGAAUACGUGUUUGGAGACUAUAGCCGAUUUGAGAAUACAAUGAGCUUGAAAUAUUGGAGACUUAUACAUUAGCCUUGAAAUAGGUAUUUUUAUGUUUAAGUGCUCAAGUGAUAGUUAGUUAUACUAUCGUUAUAAGAAUUUCUUAGAGAUUUCAAUUUAUCGCGUUUAAAUCGGGAAUACACAUUUUUACGCGCGCGAUUAAUUGAGUAACUUAACACCAUUAUUUUUAGACUAUUAAGAGUGAAUAAUAAUAGUAUGAAUGAAAGUGUAUUAGAGGUUUAGGGCACUAGUGAAAUAAACUCGAGAGGAAUCGAGCACGAAACGCCCGCGCCUGUGCGCGGGAGAAAGGGUUGACUUUUGAAUUAAUUGGAGCCACACAUUUUAGCUUCUCUUGGAAGCUUCAUUAGAGCCCAAAACACACUCACUUUUGCUCCCAUUCCAGCCGUGCACUUCAAGAGAAAAAGAACCAAGUUUCUUCUUCAAUUUCUUCUUCAAAUCUUCACUAAUCCUUCACCAAAUCAUCUCAAAUUUUAACCACAUUUUGCUAAACACUUGGAGAGCACUUCAAGCUAGAAAAGGAGGCUGCUCUCACGGUUUUUCUUGAGCAAAUAAGGACCAAAAUUUCUGCCUUAAUCAUCUAAGUAAGUGAGUGAUGAUCGACCUUCAAAAUCUUAAUUUAUGGAAGUUGUAUUGCACAUAUAACCUCAUAUAUUCAUGUGGGUAGCUUUAUUUAUGUUGAAUUUUGGUGAGUGGGCUCCAUGAACUCUCACAAUUUCUUGAUGGACUGAUUUGUUGCGUUUUGAUGUUAUUAAUGUUGGAUUAGCGAUUAAUCUAGUGGAAAUAGGUUGUAUUGUUGAAGGAAAGUUCAAAGGAAGUGAAGAAGGAAUUUUUCCAUUCCUGCCCCUGUCCAUGCCAUGGCCCUUAGGGCAAUUUUUCGUGGUUCUAAUGACUUUUUUUUGAGGUAUAUAUGUAAUAUAGGUUGUGUAGAAAGUUUCAUCAAAAAAUUACGUGAUUUGGUUGGCCAAAUGUUGUGAUUUCGAAAGUUCCUUCAAAACUGGAAGUUUUCCCGUAUUGCACAGGCAGUGUUUUUCAAACAGCUAUAACUUUUUGCUCCGACGUCGAAAUCGUGUGCCGUUUGCCGCACUAGAAAGUAAACAUUCUCAGUUUUCCAAUGGUAUAAAGUGUAUGUCCAGACUCCACCUGAGUGAACCGUACCACUCAUUUGAACAUGACUAUCCUGUUUCGCUGGUUCACUGGAGUCCACGUCUUAAGCGCAACUUGAUGCUCAAAGAUAAGCUAGUUGUGGAUAGAUUUUAAAAAUGAUUUCUUCUGAGAAAUUGUAACCUUAUGAAUGGAGUUUUCAACGCCACCAACUACGCUCAAUUCCAAGUUGAAUUGAGUGAGAUAUCGCUAAAUUACAGACCUAGAUUUUUGCUUGAAAAUCCUCUUUUGGCUAGUUAAAUGGCCUAGCUUGAUUUGGGACUUGUUGUUUUGGAAAAUUUGAUGUCCAAAUCUACCAAACUUUAUAUUAGAUGUUCCUUGGAUUUUGUUUCACAAAUAAACCAGAUUUGGUUUGGUUGCAUUGGACAAAAUAUUUAAAAAGGAAAGAAGAGCUAGAAGAUAGUUUUGCCUUGGAAAAUUUCUUGAACUUUGAUGGUUUAGUUAACUACCUUCCCGUGUGAAUUUUCAAAUGAAAUUUGAUGGAGGAGUAUUCCUCAUAUGGAGGUUUAAUUGUGCAAAAUUUGGUGAUAUUCUAAGACCAUUUUGACAUGCAAAUGAUGUCCCAAAAUUGCUCUUCGAAUCUGGAAAACUUUUCCUUUUCUCUUAGCCGAAUGGCCAAUCUUGACUUGGGACUUGUUAUUUCGAAAUUUUUGGUGUUAAUCACCUAAGAAAAUGUAUUUUGAAUGUUACUUAGACAUUUUCUACACAAAUGAACCAUGUUUGAAAAUAUUUCAUUAGCCAAAUGAUUUGGAAAAGGGAAAUGGUAGCACAAGACAGCUUUGCCUUGAAAAUAUAGAAACUUUCGUGACUUUGUUAACCAACUUCCCGUACGUAUUUUUCCAUGAAAUUUGACAAAGAAAUACCCCUUAUAUGGUAAUAUAAUACUUCCAAAUUCGGUGCCAUUCCGAAUCCGUUUCAAUGUUUAACCAAAGUCCCAAAGUUUGUGAUUUGAACCUGGAAAUUGCCUAAACAUUUCGAUUUUUCAGCAACUUUGAGCUACUAUAUCUUGGUGCUCAAAACUCCGAUUCUUGUUCUGCUUGUUAUGUUUUAAACUUUGUUUGUGACUCUAAUUGAGUUCCAAAUUUCAGAGGCUGGUUCACAUUGUGUGAAUUUUACUGAAUUUCCAAACUUUACCGAAAACCAACCCCGAAACUGUCUUGCAAGCCAAAACAGCAACUUUGAGACAAAUUUUGAAUACCAUCCGUUUGGAAUCAUGGAAAAGUGUCUUCUAGAAACUUUUAGUAUUUUGGAAGUAGUUUCCAAUGGUACCAAGUUUUCCAAUUUUGGACUGAUAGAAAGUGAGAUCUGAUUUUUUAAAGUUUGCUUGCCGAAUCUGAAAUUUCCGAAUUUAAAGGAAAUUGAGGGUUUCAAGCUCUCCAUUUUCCUCCGAUAUUGCUAGACCGUUUUACACUUGAUUUCAAAGGCGAAAAUCUGAUUUCUCUUGUGCUUUUGAAACCCACUUCCGAGUCUCGAUUAUAAAUAAUUAAGGCUCAAUUCAUGAAUUCUCCUUAGAUUGUACACUGGUACAACUUUCUUUGAUACGUAGGGAUUCUAAGUGAUAGUAUAUAAUAAUUGGUGGUUAUUUACUUAGGUGCUCAAGGAGACCUUCAAGAGGAACUCGAAGUGGACGCCUAAACACUUGUUUGAGUACUUACUCACUUGUUUUGAAUAAGUGAGUGUUCCAUAUAGGAGUACAUAAUUUGAAUAAAUCCAUGACAUGCUUAUUCCAUGAUCAUUAAGUGUCAAAUGCUAUAUGUCAAGUAUUUACCACACUCAUGCAUAUUUAAGUAAGGUAUAUUUGAAUUACUCAACAUGAAAUACUUGAAUUGUAUAUUUACGUGAAGUGUUUACCAAAUUUCGAGUUUAUGUGUUAAAUGUUACUAAUAAUUGCUCAUAGAAAAUUAUCCACCAUGUUAAGGUGACUGUGUACUUUAUCUCACUCGAUCUACUAACAUGAUAAAUUUUUACCGUUCAUCGAUUUAUUUGAUUACUUGUGCAUGUUGUAAGUUCUAAACUGAGUUGGGCCCUACCCUUGGUUACUAACCUACUCGAGCCAGGACUGGGAUCGGUCAGGUAGGUUGGAACCUUGGGCCACCGUUUCGGUAUACUCGAGUACUACCACUGAAGGGAUAUAGUGAUGGCCAGACAAACCGAUGGGAUUCGAAAGUUAUAAGGUGCAGAUGACCGACAUGGUUCCACUGGAACACCGUAUCCUUCAAUAUAUGUUUAUUUUGCAUAGAGAUAACUAUUUCAUGCAAAUGUACCAACGUGCAAAUCUUGUGUCAUACCUGUGACACGCUCAAAUUACUCGUACCAUGAUAAUUGUCUCAUGUUAAUGUGUCAUACCUGUGACAUGUUCAAAUUACUCGUACCAUGAUAAUUGUCUCAUGUUAAUGUGUCAUACCUGUGACACGCUCAAAUUACUCGUACCAUGAUAGUUGUCUCAUGUUAAUGUGUCAUACCUGUGACAUGUUCAAAUUACUCGUACCAUGAUAAUUGUCUCAUGUUAAUGUGUCAUACUUGUGACACGCUCAAAUUACUCGUACCAUGAUAAUUAUCUCAUGUUAAUGUGUCAUACCUGUGACACGCUCAAAUUACUCGUACGAUGAUAAUUGUCUCAAAUUACUCGUACCAUGAUAUUGUCUCAUGUUAAUGUAUCAUACCUGUGACAUGUUCAAAUUACUCGUACCAUGAUAAUUGUUUCAUGUUAAUGUGUCAUACCUUUGACAUGUUCAAAUUACUCGUAUCAUGAUAAUUGUCUAAUGUUAAUGUGUCAUACCUGUGAUAUGCUCAAAGUGCUCGUAUAAUGAUAAUUGUCUCAUGUUCGUGAACCGACGUGCAAUCCGAACCAUACAUGUGGUAUGCUCAAUUACUUGAUUUAUUAGAACUGCUAGAGUGUUUUGGAACCUCACUAGGCUGUGUAGCUCAUCCCACGUUUUUAUUUUCUUUAACAGGGUUCGAGACCAAGAGUGCUCGUGAAUUGUACUAGAUAGUUUUCUUUUGAAAAUUUAAUAUUGUAUUAUAGUGGAUGGUUAUAGUACAUAUUCCUUUGGGUUGUACUUAAGCUUGAAACCUAAAUAAUUGUAAGUGUGAAAUAUUUUGGAGUAUUUUAAUUAUGUAUUGAAGUUAUUUGAAGUAUUCCGAGUUUUUGAAUUGUGGAUUGUACAGAGUCCUGGUGACAGUUGGACAGGCGUCCCGCCGAUACCCUUGGGAGAAGUGGGGGCGUCACACUAGCUCAUGUAGUGGAGCACCAGGGUUAAAACCCUCAACCUCAACCUGUAAACGCUAAUCCUGGCAACCACGUUGAGAGCGAGGAUAGAGCUCUCGAAAGGUUUCAGAAGUUUUUCCCACCCAAGUUUAUCUGCGGGCCAGAUCCUCAUGAGGCCGAGAGAUGGUUGGUAAAGAUGGUGGACAUCUUUGCUGCAUUACAUUAUACGGAGGAGAGGCAGGUGAUUUUCGUUGUCUUUCAACUGGAAGAGACGGCCCGUUCUUGGUGAAACGUCAUACGGUAAAAGUGGGAACGGGAACAAAUACCAAGGACGUGGGUAAAUUUCACGAGGGAAUUCAGCGCCAAAUUUUUUCCUCCUUUGGUUCAGGAAAGGAAAGAAGACGAGUUUAUUCGGUUUCACCAGGGGGCUCAGGCCGUAGCUGAGUACGAAAGCCAAUUCACUUGCCUAUCCAAAUUUGCCCUCGAGCUAAUCAUGAUCAAACAACGAAGGAUAAGGCGCUUUGUUCAGGGCCUGAACGUGAAAAUUCAGAAGAAUCUCGCGGUGGCCCAAAUUAAUGUUUUUAGUGAGGCCGUGGAGAAGGGUCAACGGGUGGAAAGCGCCAGGCUUCAAGUGAGGAACUUUCAAGCUAAAAAAUGAGGAUUUCCUGGUAGUAGUUCAGGGUGGAGGGAUAAGAGUAUCCCUCCCAAGUUUGGACGGGGAGCCGAAGGUGGAAGGCAGCCGGGAGUAUCGAGAGGGGCUCAGUCAAGAGGUGGCCAAGUUGGGCGAGGCCAAAGAGGAAAUUUCCAGGGGGGUUCAGCUUCAGCAUCCCGCGGUCCUUGUGGACAUUGUGGGAAACCAAACCACACAAAGGACAAUUGCUGGAGGAAGGAAGGAAAAUGUUUACGCUAUGGGAAUGCAGACCACCAACUUGCCACUUGUCCGGUUCUAAAACGAGAUGGAAGGGGGAGCCAACAACCGCCGAGGACCAAUUCUGGAUCGGUUAAGAGGGAAGGGACUAAACCCAAGGUAUCGGCUCGAGUGUACUCACUCGAGUCACAACAGGUCCCUGACUCUUCCGAAGUUGUAAAAGGUACGAUCCCUAUAUUCCACCGAUUUGCAAAGGUUUUAGUAGAUCCAGGUGCCAUCCAUCCUUUGUUAACCCCAAUUUCAUGUGUGGUAUUGAUAUAAAACCUGCUAGUUUACCUUAUGACCUAGAAGUCAGUACCCCUACGGGGGAUCAUCGUUUGAUUACUAGUAUGGUUUAUAAGGAUUGCGAAAUUUGGGUAGGAGAAAGGAAAUUGUUAGGGAAUUUGAUAAACCUGUCUAUUAAGGGACAUGAUGUAAUCUUGGGCAUAGACUAAUUAGCCAGGUAUAAUGUCCAACUUGAUUGUAAGAAGAAGGUGGUAGAAUUCCGCAUUCCUGGGAAGGCUACUUUGAGGCUUGAUAUAAGGAGUAGGUUGGCCUCAUCUGCCUUGAUCUCGAGCAUUCGGGCUAGAAAACUGCUAAGUAGAGGGGCGCAAGGGUUCUUAACCUUUCUAAUCAAUACCUCCACCGAUAAAUUGAAGGUAGAGGAUGUGCACAUAGUAAAGAAAUAUCCAGAUGUAUUUCCUGAUGAGUUAGUAGCUCUAUCUCCAGAGAGAGAGAUAGAAUUUAAAAUUGAUUUGUUACCGGGGACGUCACCUAUCUCUAAAACCCCAUACCGAAUGGCACCUGCUGAGUUUAAGGAGUUGAAAUUGUAGUUACAAGACCUUUUGGAGCGGGGUUUCAUUCGAGAAAGUGGGUCUCCUUGGGGAGCCCCUGUGUUGUUUGUGAAGAAAAAGGACGGGAGUCUACGGAUCUGUAUAGGCUAUCGGGGGCUGAAUAAUGUAACGGUUAAAAAUAAAUAUCCACUGCCCCAUAUUGACGAGUUGUUUGACCAGUUGCAAUGAGCAGUGGUCUUCUCAAAACUAGAUUUUCGCCAGGGGUAUUACCAAUUGUUGAUUAGGAAGGAGGAUAUACCAAAAACUGCUUUCAAUUCAAGAUAUGGGCACUAUGAAUUUGCAGUCAUGCCCUUUGGACUGACCAAUGUCCCUGCUGCCUUCAUGGAUCUGAUGCAUAGGAUUUUUAAGUCCUAUCUAGAUCGAUUUGUAGUUGUCUUUAUUGAUGACAUUCUGGUCUACUCAAAGACUCGGGAGGAACAUGAACAGCACUUAAGAAUCGUUUUACAAACCCUAAGAGAGCAUCAGUUGUACACCAAGUUUAGUAAGUGCGAGUUGUCACUGGAGAAAAUUUCUUUCUUAGGGCACGUAAUUUUCCAAGAGGGUAUCUCGGUUGACCCAGCGAAAGUAGAGGCCGUGACUGAUUGGAAGAGGCCAAAAAAUCCCACUGAGAUUCGUAGUUUUCUAGGGUUGGCUGGAUACUAUAGGCAUUUCAUUAAAGACUUUUCCAAACUGCCCGGUCCUUUAACCAACUUGACGAAGAAACAUGGUCAUUUCAUAUGGGAUGCUAGGUGUGAUGCGAGUUUUCAAGAGUUAAAGAAAAGAUUAACCAUGGCACCGAUUUUAGCUUUACCUAACGGAAUAGACGGUUUUACCGUUUAUGCUGACGCUUCACGGGAAGGUUUGGGAUGUGUGCUGAUGCAAAACCAGAACGUGAUAUCUUUUGCCUCUAGAAAGUUGAAACCCCAUGAGCAGAACUAUCCAACCCACGACCUGAAGUUAGCUGCGGUUGUUUUCGCUCUGAAAAAGUGGAGGCACUAUCUAUACGGGGUAACUUUUGAGAUUUACUCAGACUAUAAGAGCCUUAGAUAUCUCUUCUCACAGAAGGAAUUGAACAUGAGGCAGCGACGGUGGAUGGAAUUUCUGGAGGAUUACGACUGCACUAUCAACUAUCAUCCAGGGAAAGCUAACGUGGUGGCGGAUGCCUUAAGUCGGAAGGCUCGAGUGGCAGGGUUAAUGAUUAAGGAGUGGGAUCUAUUAGAAUCAGUUUGUAAGUGAAAACCCUAUCUUGGAAGUUAUAAGGUGAUUUUUGGUAAUGUUAAGGUAACAUCCACACUACUGGAGUGAAUUAAAGAAGCUCAGAAGGAAGAUGCUAUGGUACGGAAGUGGGGAGAGAAAGUGGAAAAAGGAGAAUUGGCUGAUUUCAAGUUUAGUCCCGAGGGAGUUUUGAAAUACCGAAACCGAGUGGUGGUGCCCAAAGAUGAAAUGUUAAAGAAUGAGAUCUUAGAGGAAGCUCAUCGGUCCAAGUAUACGAUCCAUCCGGGUAGUAGCAAGAUGUACCAGGACCUAAAAGGAGUCUAUUGGUAGGACAACAUGAAGAAGAAAAUUGCUCAAUACGUACGAAAAUGUCUCAUCUGUCAACAAGUUAAGGCGGAACAUAAAAAAUCAUCUGGCUUGUUACAACCUCUCGAGAUACCCGAAUGGAAGUGGGAAAACAUUAAAAUGGACUUCGUUUCGGGUUUGCCACGAACGCAACGAGGACAUGAUGCCGUUUGGGUGAUCGUCGAUCGGUUAACCAAAUCGGCCCAUUUCUUGCCGGUAAACAUGAAAUAUUUCAUGGAUAAAUUGACUCAGGUGUACAUGGACGAGAUCGUAAGACUACUUGGAGUUCCUGUGAGUAUCGUUUCGGAUAGAGAUCCCCGCUUUGUAUCUAGGUUUUGGCAGAAAUUCCAAGAGACUUUGGGGACUAAACUCAACCUAAAUACCACUUAUCAUCCCCAAACGAAUGGACAGUCGAAGCGAACAAUUCAAACUCUCGAGGAUAUGUUAAGGACCUAUAUUCUGGAUUUUGGGGGCAACUGGGGUCAACAUAUGACCUUAGUAGAGUUUGCUUACAAUAACAGUUACCAUUCGUCAAUUCAAAUGGCCCCAUACGAAGCGCUUUAUGGGAGGAAGUGUCGGUCACCGAUCUAUUGGGAUGAAGUCGGCGAGAGGAAGGUGCUAGAUCCAACAACUAUUCCAUGGAUGGAGGAUACACGAGAAAAAGUCAAGUUGAUACGACAAAGACUCCAAACAGCUCAAAGCCGACAAAAGAGCUACGCGAACAAUCGAAGAAAAGAUCUAGAGUUCGAAGUUGGGGACCGUGUUUUUCUUAAGGUUACCCCGUUACGAAGUGUCACGGUGGGUAGAGGAAAGAAACUUCAACCGAGGUUCGUCGGACCUUUCAAGAUUCUUCAAAGAGUUGGUAAAGUAGCGCAUCGACUUGAACUACCAUCAAGUCUAUCCAGAAUUCACGACGUCUUCCACGUCUCGAUACUUAAGAAGUAUUAUCCCGACUCGUCUCACAUCUUACAACCGGAGGAAGUUGAGAUAGAUGAGUCACUCACCUACGAAGAGAAACCUGUACAGUUGCUUGACCGAAAGAUUAAGGAGCUGAGAAACAAACAAAUUCCUUUGGUGAAGAUCUUGUGGAGAAAUCAUGGGAUAGAAGAGGCUACCUGGGAGGUGGAAGAAGAAAUGCAAAAGAAAUACCCCGAACUGUUUGUGAAUCCAGAUGAGAAAUUUCGAGAACGAAAUUCUUUUAAGGGGGAGAAAGUGUGAGAACCCGAAAAUUUUCUUGUUUUCUAGGUUUUAUUUUAUUUAAUUGCACGCCUUUCAAUAUUUUCUUUAUUAGAAAAAUUUUCUCGAUAAUUUUUAUGAGUAAAUAUAAUUUUUAAAUCAUUUUUCUAGUAUAAGUUAGUUCAUGAGAUUUUAGGAGUGUAUAUUGGACGUGGGACCCGCUAGUGCGGUACUGUGACAGCCUCACCUUACCCUAAGGCGAACCAAAGGGGUCGGCGGACUGCCUGCCCAGCUCUCGCCGGGACUCAAUCAUACCUCCAUCAAAAUCGGAAUAAAACUACAAGAAUCAAGACGAAAUGGAAGGGCCGCCGCCUCGCAGGAUCUAACCAAGUACAUGUACACUUUGUUUGCCAUGAAAGAAUGUACAUUUCCGAAUAUAUAAAUCACAUAAACAUGAGGAAACAUUUUAAAUAUACAUAUUAGUAAGUUUACAAAUCCAAAAGGAAACAUUGUAUUAAGAUACAUUUAGGGUUUCCAAGUUGUCGAGGAGCUAUACCAAGAGAACAAAAGACUUUCUAACUAACUCAACUCAUUUCUCAAAACAUUGCAGUUUCAAAAGAUGGUUCCCUGUAAGGAAAAUAAGGAUAAUGGAACGGGGUGAGCUGAAAGCUCAAUGAGGUACCAACAGUAUAAAUAGUAGAAUUCAUAAGAAAGCACUUAGAGGCAUAUAUUCACAUCAAAUACGAGGAAAGAAUGAACAUCACAGUGUAAAGGAUACAGGUGGCUCUCAGGAGCCAAAUCCCCGUUGCCAUACUUGAUCCAGCCUCGUUGACCCUCCGUCAACGUUCAAAUAAAGGAACUAGUCCAGUAGAACACCACUUUAACUCCAAAACCCCGUUCACCAAACAUACUCCUUACCGGGCCUGAACGCCAAACAGGAACAGGAAUGGUAAUACUCGAGUAUACCGGAAUCAAGAGUCUCAAUACCCAAAGAUUCUCCCAAGAACAGGUACCCAUGGAUUGUCAAUUAUCUCGACCAAGCCCUCGCUGGCUCGAUUUAAUUAACUCCCCAUGAGGUUGAACUCAGGUUUAACAGGAAGGUCGUUGGAUACACUUCCAAACGACAUCAUAACAAGUGCAAGUAACAAGUUCAAGUACAUAACAAGUACAAGUAAUAGAUUCCAGUUCAUUCAUUACAAGCAAGAGAACGAGUGUGAUAAAGUACACCCUCGUCUCAUACAAGAUAAACAGUCAGGAAAGACAUUCAAGUAGCAAUUUGCAAGUACAGAAAACCAGUUUAGCAAUAAUUCAGGAGAGUGGUACACUCACCUGAUCAAACAAGGAUAAUUUCAAAAGUUUCCUUCCCAAGUACGGCUUUACUCGCCGGCACCUCCUAGAACAAUCAAGGCAAACACUUAAAAUUGGACUCCAAGACCUAAUAAAUGGAAUUCGCAAGUAAAGCUCGAUUACAAGUCGGGUGCCUAUCCAAAUAAACCAUUAAUGUAAAGCGAAGAGGUGACUUUGGAGUGAAAAGAUAACAAUUAGUCCUAAAGGCAUGAACAACCUCAAAACUCUACCUAUAAUGAUUGACCAACUCCAAAUUUGAAGUAGAAAAUGAAAGUAAGGUCAAUACUAGGAAAACAGGAUUUUCCAGUUUCGCGCAACCCUAUAUGAAAAAUCAUAUCUCAAGUUUUGUAAGUCCAAAAUUAAUAAAAGUUAUACCAUGGGAAAA